Molecule: long non-coding RNA, 63552 nt
Filed under: Coffea arabica (coffee)
Lineage: Eukaryota; Viridiplantae; Streptophyta; Magnoliopsida; Gentianales; Rubiaceae
Description: long non-coding RNA (CARA_LNC005929)
Source: RNAcentral
ACCCUGUUUCGAGUUUGAAUGGAAGAGUACCAGAGUAUCCUGGUAGCGUGUCGACUAUGGAUCGUGGCGAAGCAAAUUUUAAGGAAAAUAUUGAGAGCAGAAGCAAAGUGGUUAGCAAUUUUAACUUCAUGCUGAUCACCAACACGACUGCCAACAGCUGAUGUUUCUGUUCUCUUUACUCUACUUGGAAGAGACAAGCCAGUAAUUUGCAGGUGUCGUGACUAGCGUGAUUAGUCAAGAAUUCGAUAUUCAUUUUGCUACCCCCUCAAUGAUCCAACCUCUGAUAUUUCUGCUCACUUUACUUGGAAAAGAUGUGUGGCUAAAAAUAAAAGGAAGAGGUCAAGAGUUUGACAAAGCCAGUGCUACUAGUCAAGAAUUCAACAUUCAUUUGGCUACCUCCUCAAUGAUCCUUUACCUUGUGUCAAAUUUUUUAAAUGCCCCUUGUGUCUAUUGACCCAAUUCACUCCUUCAAUUUUUUUUUUUCAUUUUUUGUGUCUUAACCAAAGAAAUUCAAAAUCUUUGUUUUCUUUAUAAUUAUCAAUUAUGGGAAGACAAUUAUCACACUAUCCCAAAUAACGUAGCUUGACAUAUUUGUAGUUCGAUGUAUUUUUGGAGGAAAGAUAGGGAGAUUAUUAUUUGACUCCUUUUAUUUGCUUCUACAAUUGGCCGCAAGGCUCUUCCAAGAACAUAUGCAAACUUUUGAUCAUAUACACUGAUAGCAUAUGUAUUAUUAAGUUGAAUAAAUGAUAAUUAUGUAUACUUUGAAUUAUAAGUUCAAAUUUUUACACAUAUUAUAGAUUUUUUUUUUGUAAUAAUAUAUAUUGUAUAUUAAUCAUAAUCAACUUUGCUCAAAAAGUACCUCUACAUUGCGCCAUAAUGUACUAGAUCUAAAUGUAAUAGUAUAUAUACUAUGAGCACAUAUAGAAUUUACUCUUACUUCUAAAUGAUUUUUUUUCCUGAGUUCGUUCAUUAAUAGCUAUUAUCAUAAUUAAUACGAAACACAUAUCCUUAUACUAUAUAAGAACGAGUUUAGGACUAAAUUUCAACCGCAGGGGUAAGGUUAUUUUGGGAAUGUUUGAAGAGUGAUUGGAACAUUAAAUACAAGUCAUUAUAACUUUAAUUUCAUUAUAAUUACUUAUAUAACCUUUCAGACAUUUAAGAUUAGGGGCAUGUUUGGUAUGUUACAAUUUUUGGUGCCAAGUUGAGUAUCAAGUACAACUAAAUAAAUCUUGUAUUUUGAUAGAAUUACAUAAAAGUCCUUUUAAUCAUUUAUUAUACUAACAUCCAAGCCUUCCAAUUUCCUGAAACCUUUCUCAUCCGUUAAGGAAUUAAUUGGAUGUUUACAUAAUUGGAUUUUAAUUACAAUUAAUUAACUUAAUUAUUAUCUGAACAAUCAUUAUCAUAUUUAUGUCCCCCAUGUUUAGCUGAUACCCUUUUUUCUUUUUCGGUUUCACCUCUUUGAUUUUAUUAUGGCUAUUAAAUAUUUGGUGGAAUGCAUAACUUUUCCUUUAAAUUGAGGUGAGUUCUUUAGCUUUGUUCUCUUCGAUUGUAGUUUUUUUUCCUGAUGAUUAGUUUAUUCAACAACUCCAUAUAAUUUGCUUUUUAAUAUUUCUAAUUCCAAAAACUAACUAAUUGUAUUGUUUUUCUUAGUAGAUCCCAGAGAUUCUGUCUUUGGUUAAAGUACAAUUUGAGAUAAUGUUGUCACUUUCUAAAAUAAUCAGAAAAGCAAUUUUAUCAUCCUUUUCUCCUCAACCAAGGUAUUAUCUCUUUAUUUAAGUCAAAUAAUCUUAUUUCUCAUGAACUUUCUCCUAUUAUUCUUGAUUCCAGGGAUCUGUUGACUACAUUCCAGCAGUUAUGGUUCAAGUAGUUAUUUUUUCAUGUAAUAUGAUUUGGAAUUCAGGUUGUGUUUAUUUUAAUUGGGAAUUUUAUGAUUGUAAAAUUUAUUAACUUAGAAUUUUGUACUUCAUUGAAACUGAAAAAGAAAAUUAAUCAUGCUACAUAGUACUAAGAUGUCAUUUGCACUCUAUUUACUUUCCAUGUUAUGAUCUCGUUCUUGUAUUAUACUGUUUAUAUAGUUUCAAAUACAAAAAAUUUGCUUUUUUAUGCUAUGUAAAGAAUUUGCAGUGAAACUUGAUGAGUUUAAAUGCUUUAGCUACAGCACCAUUUUGAUUGCAUUGUAUUAAUUUAUUUACUCAUAAUUGUAUGUUGUACAAUGAUAAAUAAUGUUUCUUGAUUUGAUUGAAGCAACUAUUAUCCAUAGUUCAAACGAGUCAAUUAAGUAGAAAUGUUAUAUUGGAUACUUACAUAAGUAAACAUUGGAAAAUAUCAUUAAGCAAUUUCUACCUAUAGUUUGCAAUUCGAAUUCAUAUGAGAAAUUUCUUCUGAUUUUACUUACCAUUUUCUACAAUUUCAAAUUUAGAAAUAUUAUUUGCACCAAUUUUCUAUAAUCAAGGUAGUUUCAAUUCAGAUCUUUAACAAUUACGCAGAUUUGAACUUAUUUAUGAGAUUAUAAAGAAAUUCCCCUAGCCAAAAACACCAAAUCUAAAUAGUUUCUACAAAACUUUAAAAAAAAUCACUUAAGUUUCUUAUCUAUCUAUCAUUUUUGAGCAUUAUUAUCUCUGUAAGAAACAUGUGAUUAAGUCGUAUUAUACCCAUCAAAUUAUAUAAAUAGUUAGUAAAAAAUAAAAUUAUUUUAGAUUAGAUUGGACGCAAAGUGAUUGAUGGAUCAACUUGACUUGAUAAUUCAGGUUGAGCUUAAGUCGAGGGAGAAAUCAGAAGCAUUGCUUGAGAGAUCUUUCACGAACAUAGAUAGAUUCGAGAGAUGAAGGAUCCAAUUGAUACUUUAAAAUGUUUUAUCAUCUUGGAUAAGUUUUAGAAGACACUUUUGGAUACUUUUCAAUUGCACUUCAAACAUUUUUACAUUUUCAAACUACCCUUAUCUUUGCAGUUGAAAUUCAAACAUAACCAUUGAUCGCAACGGAUUCUUAUAUAGUAUAAAGAUAAGGAUGUCUUAUUGCAUAUUAUUUUUAUUGACUCACUAUAUAACUUAUGAUUUUUCUAUUAAAAUCAUAUGAUAAAACCAUCAAACUUCAGUUUUUAUCCUACAAAAUAUUAAACAAUAAUUAUUAAUUAUCUUGAAUCACAAGCACACAAAUUCCGCGCAUCGCGCGGGCUGUCCCUCCCUAGUAUAGGUUAUAACAUGAUCAUAUGCUGAACUAAAACUAGUUGGAAUGAAAUAUCAGUUUUCAACGUUGCCUUUCUAGUAAUCGGUAGUAGGUACGAUGAAAAUUCAAAAUUGGCGACUGAUCUUUGUUCAAACGCCACAUUUACGCGUGAGAGCUUCAUUCUUCGGACGUACUACUACCAUGUGCUUGGUUGUUUAAAAAGGGGAAAAAAAAAAUUUUGACAGUCAUAGGAGUCAUAGGCACAUACAAAUAUCUAAAUUGUAAGUAUAAACUUUCUUCUAACCACCCGUCCAAAGGCUGGUGGUUACUACCAAAGCAUUAAAAGUUGGAUAGGAUGGGAGGCAAGGGUUCAAUUAUCACAUUAAAGUGAUUUUGUUUAAAAAAAAAUUCAGAUGGAUGAGUAGUGCACCUGUUUGAUUAGUGGUAGUUCAGUUCCCUCUGAAUUAUUCUUGGGUCUCCUUAGGUCCAUUCCCUCCCCCUAAUAUAGGCUAAAUUAGGUUAUACAACAGUUAUCGUUUCUGAAAAAAAGAUAUAAAUUUUCUUCUGAGGAUUUAUAAUACUGCAUGAAUUUCUUAAAUAAUAAUGAUAAUAAUAAUUAGAGACUGUGUAUAAUGUGUGCAUAGCUACAACUUAAUUAGACACUAUAGAUAUAGAACAACAUAUUUCCUUAAAAAAUAUAUGUACAUACACCUUCCAAAUAUAAAUACAUUAUACAUAUACCUUAUAUUUUCCUUAAAAAGGUAAUUAUACAGAAAAUUUAGUAUUACUUGUUUCUAAACAAAUAUAUAAUUAAAUUUAUUAUAAUAUAUGUAUUACCUUUAUAAAAUAUAAUUAAAUCAUUUUUAGGCUCGAAUUUGAGUUCAAGCUCAAAUUCACUCAUUUAGUUUAAUGAAACAAGAUUGAAUUCGAAUUUGAGCUCGAAUAUCAAUGCAAAUUAACCAAUCGAAUUGAGUAACAUUUAUAACUCAUUUAAUAUUUGAUCGAGUUCGAAUCCUAUUCGUAUAGGCUGAACACCAAAUAUUCUACUUGAUUUGCCUCAUUAUAAGAGUUCUACAAACCAUCAUAGUAUCCAAAUCAUGACCUUCAACUUGUUACUGCAUGUGCAUUUAUAUAAUUUAUGCUAAAUACAGCUAUAACUUCGGGGUAUAAAAAGAAAAAGAAACCUAGUAUUUCCUUCAUCAUUUCUUUUAAGAGAAAUGUUAAAAGCGCUUUCUUAUUUGCUGGUGGCAGUUCCCUCCCUUUGUUUUUACUCAUAUUAAAAAAAGGCCCCACUUUUCAUUUUAUUUUCAAAAUUAUACCAUUGCUAAAAUAUAAGUUCAAUGGAGGGAGGAUUUUUUUGUUUUGAUUAACAUAGUCAAAAGCUUUGGAAAGGUAGCAUAAAUAAGCAAGGAGUUCGAUUGACAUUCCACUUCUUUUAAUUGGAUAGUUAUCGUCUUCUUCUAAUUUUGGGAUGCUGCCGCGGUAUGUUUAUUAGUCAAAGAAAAGGUGUGGAAAGGCGGGGCUGAGUGAUUGUGGCCACAAAUGGUAGGGAGAGUGUCUUGGAUGGACACGUGUAAAGGGUUGUUGUGACCUGCAACCUGCGUUGAAGGGGAUUGUAACUGUAAAUGUGAAAUGUGGAGUGUAUAAAUUAAGCAACUUGGAAAGUGAGAGGGUCGCACGUGAAAGUAAGAUGUUAAGUGCCUAAAUUAAGCAACGUGCAAAGUAAGAGGGUCCUACGCAAAAGUAAGGGCAGGCAAAAGGGCGCGAAGCUUGGCGAAGAAGUUAAACACUGUAAGCAUAUAAAAUGAACAAUUUAAUAAAUUUAAGCAUUAAAUUUAUAAUGAAUAAAUUAUGGAUUCCAACCUCAGGUGUUAAUUUUAUAAUGAAUAAAUUAUUACUUUAUUUUAAAUAAAACCCGUAAAUCUGGUUUGUUAAAUUAUACCCAUAAUCAUUUAUUAUACAGGUAUAUUAUGAGUACUUACUAACUAAAGUACUAAGUUUUAAUCAUUAAUAAAACAUCUUAUCAUUAUUUCAAAUAAACUUCCUAAUACUACUUUGAGAUAAGUUUAAUGUAAAAAUUGUACGUGCAUUCCAAAAAAUGGUAAAUUUUGAUCCUUAAUCAUUUUUAUUGCCAUGUUAUUAGUAAGAAUUACUAUUUAUGUAUAAAAACUUACUGUUAUUUGAACUAAAAUUACUCUUUUAAAAGUAAGUUUGGGAUAUAAAGUAGUAAUCUAUUUAUUUAAAAAUUAAGUUUAAUAUUUAUUCAAAUUUACCUUUUGAGGUAUAAAAGUUACUAAUCUAUUACACUUAACUUACUAUUUUAGAUAGGAAACUUACUUCUAUAAUUUUAGAUGUUAUUCUAUUUAGGUGAAUAGGUCCAACAAUAAAUCAAAUGAUCGCUAAAAGUGCAACAACAUGUUAUAUUAGGUAAAAACUAUUUCGCUACCAUAACUAUCGUUUAGUAUCUAUAUGUAUUGCUAAGGGAGUUUUGGAUAAGGAGCUUCCAAAAUUGUCAAAAGUCUGAAUGCUAUUUUAAUAGAAUUUUACAUUUUUAUAAUUAAAAAAUAUUUAUCUCUUAACUAAUCAUGUAACCGCCCCUACAAAUCCUAUAAUCAUGCUCAUAUUUUUUCCACAUUUCCCUCGCGUUUUUUCCACUACCCAUAAAAUUCAAACUCCUAAACUUUAGCUAACGGAUAAUAACCAUCCCUGUAAAAUGAUAUCUGCAAAUUCCAAUACACAUCUCACAUUUAUUACUGACACUUAUCAUAUCACUUAUAGUAAUAACUAAUCGUUAAUUUAAGAAAUUCGCAACUAUGAAAGUCAAAUAUCCAAAAUUUAGGAGCCUGUUUAAAUUACAAUUUUCACAAUUCAACAUAUCUUAUUGUCAUAAUAUAUUUUACUCUCACAAUCAUUCACAAAUUAUAAAGGGAUUAAAAAUAAAUAGUUUUUUUAAUAAAAAAUUAAAAGGUAGUUAAUUCACACACACACACACACACACACACACAUAUAUAUAUAUUCUCAUAAUAUAAACUUAAAUUAUAAAAAAUUAGGAGGGCUAACUUUUUUUACACAAAUAUUUACACAAUAUGAAUUAAAAUUUUUAAAACUUUGGGAAGAAGCGACCUAUGGCCCCGAUUAGCCCCUAUUAGUUUGGGAAUGUUUGGAUAGCAGAUUUCUCCAAAUAAUAUUUUGCUUACAUCAUAAACACAUUUUUCAACCCACCUUUUUAUCUCACAUACAUCAUAUCACAAAAAGUGCUAUCGUAAUUAUUUCAAAUAAUAUUUUAAAUAACACUCUAUCCAAACAAAUUUCAAUAGCGUCUUAGUUCCAAACCUGCAAGAUUACAAAAGAAAAAAUAACUGAUCACAAAAUGAAUUUUACACUAUGGUGAUCCCACUCAAAUGUAGUUAUUUCACGCACACACGCAUACAUAUAUACUUAUAUAUAUACUCAUAAUAUAAACUAAAAUUAUAAUAAAUUUGGAUGGCCAGUUUUAUUUUACACAAAUAUUUAUAUAAUAUGAAUUAAAAUUUUUAAAACUUGGGGAGGAGGGCUAUGACCUCCAUUAGCCCCUAUUGGUUCCAUUAUUGAUUUCAAUGGCAUCUUAAUUUCAAACCUGCAAAAUUACAAAGAAAAACAAAUAACUGAUCACAAAGCGAAUCUCACACCAUAGUGAUCCCAAUGAAAUAUUUUAAAAAGAUUCAGCAAAUCACUUAAAAAAAAAUACAAGUCUUGCUGAACUUUUUUUGUAGUACGAAUUCUUCAAAAUUCAAUAGAAUUAAUUAAACCACCAUACUAAAAGUUGAUUGGUGUAAAAAAUGUUCGCACCUAUGUACAAGAUUAUCAAUCGAAUGCAUAAUGUGGUAAGUAUUUCAUUUUAAAAUAAAAAAAUGCAAUUAUAUUUUUUCUAUCCAUAUAUCAUUCAUUUUCUAAUAUAAAUUAUUAUUAUUAUUAUUUUAAGAUGCAUCUUCCCCAAAAACACAAUUCUUGAAUGAUUUACAAUUUUUGUCAUACUUUGAACUAUUGUUAGACAAAUCUUAAAUUUUAAUUAUGUUGGUAUAAUUUUUUAAACUUUUUUUAAAUUAAAAUGGUAUAAUCUUUUAAUUUAUUUUAACAAUGUAAGCACUGUGCGUAGCAAGCUGUCCUUGUAUGACCGAGCCUGAGAGUUUAAGCAUGUUUUGGUUGAAUUUUAUAAUUCAAAAUUUUGGGUUUGGAGGGAAUAGGUUAUGCCACGCCCCAUUUUUCGCGAUGGAAAAAUAAAAGAGAUGUUUAUAAAAGAUGUGAUUUUAUUUUAAAACAAGUAAAAAAGGACCUAAAAUGGGACUUUGAAAAAUGCGACAAUUUGGGUCCAAAAUUUAGUCUAAAAGGAUUUUUAAGAAAAAGAGGAGUCGCCACUUAGUAUUGAGUUGGGGUGUAUCAAGUCACCAAAAAUACUUUUUGAUAAGAAUAAAAUAAAACCCUUUUCGACAACUCCAGAUUUUUGAAAAACAAGAGAAAUGGGUUCGGCAGUCACGGUUGAAAAAAGGGAAGACAAAGGUUCGAUUAAUUCAAACCUAAGGCACCCUUUCAAUCUAGUCUAAGCUAGUUGCGAGGUUUAGUCAGAAAUAAAAAUGUGCAUGAAAAUGUAAUAAACACACAAAAAAUGAAUCUAGCGCAAGUCGACCUAAAGGUCUAGCAUUGGACUAGCGCCAUUUGUAAAAAAACCUUACUAGCGUUGGACUAGCAAGUAAAAAGAGGAGAAGCCAUAACUAGCGUUGGACUAGUGUGGUGACGUCAUGCAUUAAUAGUACAUAGUAAAACAAAUAAAGCAUAAAUUAAAACAAAUAAACACAUAAAAGCACGUAGCACAUAACACGUAAACAAUAUAUCUAGAUGCAAAAAUCAUAAGUAAAGCGGAUAAAGCUAUAACACAUAAGCCACAUAAACACACAACCUAUCUAUUACAUCGGGGAGCCUAAUUACAAUCUAAAAGGAGAAAAUAUAAUAAAAUAAAUCUAGUUAUCCUAUCUAUUACAUUUUUGAGGUAUUUAAAUGCCUCUCAAAUAAUUAUAAAAAUUAACUAAGCACGUGUAAGGAAAUUUGGUGAACAUUUAAAUCAAACAAAUAAAGCAUAUAAAAAAUAUAUAACACAUAGGAACACAUAGGAGCACAUAAGGCACAUAAUUGACAUUGAAAUAAUAAUAAUAGGGAUACCUCCUUUUGAAGUGGUGAUUAAAUGGAGUCGAAUUGUCCUAUUUAUACUCAAAAUGAACAAAAGAAUCAUGACACCAAUUUAAUUGAAAAUAAUAAUAACAAAAAUACUAAAUUCACACUAAUAUGUCAAACGUAAAGAAUUUAAGAACAUUUAAAAAUUACAAGUUAAGUAUAUUCAAAAGUAGCAUAAUUAGCUAUUAAAGGAAAGAAACAAUCAUAAUAAAAAGAGUUAAAAUUCACUAAGGAUUGAAUUGCAAAAAUUGAAAACUUUUGGGGACAAAAAUUAUAUUUUUCAAAGUUUAGGGGUCAAAAUUAAAUAAAAGAUAAAAUUCAAGGAUCAAAGUGUAAUUAAUUUAAGGACCUAAAUGAAAUAGAUUUAAAAUGUUAUGAGCCGUAGUAAAAUUACUCCAAAGAUUAGGGGCUAAAGUACAAAUUUUGCUUUUGAUUUGGACAAGAAAAGGCCAUGGGCCAUCAUUUUUAUUUAUUUGGGCCGAAAACUAUUUAAACAGCUGAAACCCAAAAGAAAUAAGCAGUCCAGUCCAUCAUUUAUCAAUCAAGCCCGACUAAAAACAUGCAUGGGUUCUGACCUUCUAGCCCAACUGAAACCCAAAGAAAUAAACCUAAAUCCAUUUCCAAAAACCAACCAAAAACUAACUCUUGGCCCAACCGAAAAUAAAAAACAUUAGCCCAUUUCGAUUUCUUUUCUUUCUUUUCUUUUUUCCUUCUCUUCUCCUUCCUCUCGUUUCUUCUUUUCCUUCUCCGGCAGGGUGAAGCUUCUAGCAGCCAUGGCAGCCGUGCCGGCGGUCGCUGGCAAAUUUUUCCGGUCACGAAAAAUUAUCAAAAUACAUAUCCCAACUCGAUUUUUCGCGUAGAUUCCAUUUCCGGAGUUAGUUUUUACCAAAAACGACCCGAAAGUGUCCAAAAUGUCAAAAAAACAGUCCAGUUUUUAUUUUUUUUUCCAAUCACCCUAUCUUUCACCAAAAAUCAUGAAAAUUAUACUACAACACUCUUACAACUCCUACAAUACAAAUAUGAUUUAAUUUCGACAAGAAAACAACAUAAAAGGGCUAAAAUAAAGCAAAACAGUCCCCUGAGAUUCUUUUUUUUCAUUUUGGCAUUUUUUCAAACGGUUAAUAUGCAUGCAUAAGACACAUUUUCUUUUCCUCAAUCUAGUUCAUGCCAUUUCCCAAAUUUCAGCAACACAACAAUUACAAUAAAAAGCCAGCAAACAAGAGAAAUUAAUAUACAACAACAACAAUAAAACCAGCAAAAGCAGGAGAAAUUGGGCAUUGAAACAUGGAUGUAAAAAUAUGAUAAAAAAAAAACUGGAAAUACCUCUGUAGGUGGUAGUCCCUUGACCAAGAUGUUUGACACAAUUUCCAAGCCUUGAGCGUAUCUUCCUAGCUCCCUUUGGUGAUUGCUUUGUGUGUGGAUGUGUUAGAAGAAAUUGAGAGAGCGAGAGGGAGAAAGAGCCGAGACAAAAAAUUGGAGAGCUUCUUGUUUUUUUUUUUUGUCUGUCUCAAACCAAAAAAAAAAAAAGAAGCCGAUAGCUGUAUUCUAGAACCCAAAAGUGGAGUUGGCGUUUUUUUUUUCUUUCGUGUCUUGUCUUCUGUGUGAGAGAGCUGAGAGAAGAGAUUUGAGCCAAAAAGGUGGAGUUUGAGUGUUAAGUUGGGCCAAAAUGAUGGUUUUUUCUUCCAAAUGACAAGAAAGAUCAAUGCAAAAAAUAUGAUGAAUUUUUACCAAAAUGAGAAGAAAUGUUAAUAAGGAUGGAGUGUAAAAAUGGGUUAAUAGUGCUUUUGGUGAAGCAAAAUGAUUAGGAUGAUUUUUUUUUUAAAUUUUCUUAAUUUUCUUUCUUUUUUUUGUUUUGUUUUGCUUUUUUUUGUUUUUUUCUUUUCCUAAACAAACCUGCAAAAAUUAGAAAAAUGCACAUUAAAAUACAAGAAAAUAAAUAAUUCACUAAAUAGAAAAAAAUUCAAGAAAACAUCAAAAUUUGACAAAAAUUUGGUGUCUACAGCUUGCCCCUCUUUGUCUAGAGUUUCAAAGAAACUCAAGACAAAGACGUAGACACCAAAUUGCUUCCCUGUCUCAUCUCGCUGCACAUGCGCUAAAAUAAUAAACCAAUGCUUGGCUAUAAUUAUUGAGCAAAAUGAUACAAUAACAUUGCAGAAAAUGUGACCGAACUCACGUAGAGUUGCCUACGUAUCCCACCAUGGGAAUUAGGUCAAACGUAGUUCGAAUACAAGUGAACCACAAUGAAACGAGUGCAUUGACCAUCUGUGAUCUUUGCAAAGUCGAAGAAGUCUGAGCUCUCAGAACUUCUAAACAUGAAGCACAAGAUAACUGAGAAACCACAAUUAUUAACCAAAACAGUUAAGAAAAUUAUAUUGUCAUAAUUAGAAAAAGAUGCACGGAGGAACUCGGUUACGCUCCAACAGAAAAUUAAAUGUGAUUGUUUAGAAUGGCAGUAGAAGGGUGCGCGGCGGACGCAGAGACCUCACCAACAAGAUAUUAAAUUUGAUUUUUUUUUAAAAGAUGCGCGGAGGGACGCAGUUACGCUCCAACAGGAAAUUAAAUUAUCAAGAAGGGAGAUAGAAGGGUGCGCGGUGGACGCUGAGACUCACCAACAGAAAAUUAAAUUGUCAAGAAAGGGAUAGAAGGGUGCGCGGUGGACGCUGAAACUCACGAACAGAAAAUUAAAUUGUCAAGAAGGGGGAUAGAAGGGUGCGCGGUGGACGUUAAGACUCACAAACAGGAAAUUAAAUUUGAUUAGAACGGGAGAUAGAAUGGUGCGCGGUGGACGCUGAGACUCACUAAUAGGAAAUUAAAUUAUCAAGAAGGGGGAUAAAGGGUGCGUGGUGGACGCUGAGACUCACCAACAGAAAAUUAAAUUUGAUAAGAAUGGGAGAUAGAAGGGUGUGCGGUGGGCGCUGAGACUCACCAACAGAAAAUUAAAUUUGAUAAGAACGGGAGAUAGAAGGUGUGCGUGACUCACUAACAGGAAAUUAAAUUAUCAAGAAGGGGGAUAGAAGGGUGCGCGGUGGACGCUGAGACUCACCAACAGGAAAUUAAAUUUGAUAAGAAUGGGAGAUAGAAGGGUGCGCGGUGGCGCUGACACUCACCAACAGAAUUUCACGGCGCUGACACUCACCAACAGAAAAUUAAAUUUGAUAAGAACGGGAGAUAGAAGGGUGCGCGGUGGACGCUGAAACUCACCAACAGAAAAUUAAAUUUGAUAAGAACGGGAGAUAGAAGGGUGCACGGUGGACGCUGAGACUCACCAACAGAAAAUUAAAUUGCCAAGAAGGGGGAUAGAAGGGUGCGCGGUGGACGCUGAGACUCACCAACGGGAAAUUAAAUUGUCAAGAAAUAAUAGAUUGGUGGGAUAAGACUCAACCCCAACAAAAUAAAAAAAAAUGGUCAGCAGGAUAAAACCCAAAUCUGCCAAGAUUGGUGGGAUGCAACCCAAGCCCAACAAAGAUAAAAACGGUCAGUGGGAUAAAAUCCAAACCUGCCGUAAUGAUAAAAGAUACGUUAGUGGGUUGAAUCCCAUGCUAACGGAUAUGAAGAAAUAAAACACGCGUUAGUGAGUUGUACUCGAUGCUAACGGUGAUAAAGAUUAUGUUAGUGGGUUGGACCCGAUACUAAUGGUGAAAGAAGAUACGUUAGUGGGUUGAACCCAAUGCUAACGGAUAUGAAAAAUACGACACUCGUUAGUGAGUUGUACUCGAUGCUAACAGUGAUAAAAGAUAUGACACACGUUAUUGCAUGAAAAAGUUUUUGAAUACUUACCUAAAAAAUCAUUUCAAAAUUGACUCAGUUUGAAUCAAUUUUGUACAACCAAUCAUCUGCUUUGCAUUUUGGCAUUGUUGCUCAAGUUGGUGGAUUUGUAAUCUUCUUUUUUUUUUUCAAACUUUAGAAGAAAUGAAAGAAACACACAUAUUUUUUUUUGUUUUUUUUUUUUUUUGAAAAAAAUCAAAAGUGACGAAUUCUAAAACUUGAAGAAUACUAAUGACAACUCUCCCUUCAAGAGAUUUGAGAGGUACAUACAUAUGUCACUGUCCUCUCGAUUUUAAAAGACUUUUUUUUUCACAAAGCCGAUUUAAAAUGCAUUACCAAAAUUGGAGUUCAUUCCUUUUGAUAUUUACUUCAGUGUAAAUCAUGUUUAACGAAUGCCACAUUUUUCAUGCUUUCGAAAAAGUAAAAAGAGUGAUCAUAUGAUACCAAUACCAUGUGAUUCCUUGUGCUCCUUUUGGCCCUGAGAACCAUGCAAGCAUGAUCUUUCGAUGUCAAAACUGCUCCUCAAGAGUUGUGCUGCAACUUGUUUUGAAUCUUUUCAAUUUUCUAGCAUCAGUCAGCCAUACCUCAGUUUGUACCACAAAUCAACUUUUCUAACGACUAGAUUUGAAUGAAUGGCCAGUAUUUCAAGUGUCGGCAACCCGCUUUUCGUUCAUGAUUCUCUUAUGCUCCAAAAUCUCACCUUGAUGACCUUAACCUUUCGGAUUUUCACAAAGGUCACACCUUUUUAUUUUAUUUUGUUUUCAUUUUCUAUUGUUUUUUCUUUUUCUUCUUUUUUUUCUUUUUCAUCCUUCUCUUUUUUCUUUUUCUUUUUUUGUUCUUUUUUUUUCUUUUUUUCAUUUUUUUGAAGACACCCUUUCAGGUUUUCACCUAAUGAACAAAUCUUGUUAGCGACCUUUAUCAACUCAGAAAUGUAUUUAAAGAAAGGAUGGCAUCGGCGCGACAACCCUUCCCAUGUAAAAAUGGUAAAGGUAUAUUAACAUCAUUUGCCAUUUGAUUAAGUGAUUUUUAUUAGAAAUACCACUAAGGCGGAGGUCGAGACUUUAUGAUUUUUAUGAUGGGGUCAUGUGGGUGUAGAAAAAGUGUUAAGGCUUCAAAGCAAAAUCUUCAAAGAGGUUUCAAAAACCCUAAGACCGCAUUCUAUCAAUAUUUGCCCCAGUAUGAGGGUAUUAAAAUCGAAAAAAUUGUCCUAGUUUGGCUUUUGAAUCUUUGUUUUUUCUUUUUUCCUUUUUUUAUGACAAAUAGGAGAUAAAAAUUUACCCCAGUAUAGGGUUUGCAAUCUUUAGGGGGCUAUCAAACGAAUGAUUAAGUUAUUCUGAAGGUUCACAGGGAAAAAUCAGGGAUAAAAUGUUCAAAGAGAAAAGAAGAAGACCCGUCUUUAAUCCACCUUAAAUGGUAUCUCAAAAAGAAGAGUCACAUAAUCAGAUAAAGAAUUUUUUACACAUGUCUGAAUUGAUUGGCAGAGGAAAAACCUGUCCAUCCAGUUCUGUGAGAAUGGGUGUUCCUCCAGAUAGCACUCUUUGAACAGUAAAUGACCCUUGUCAAGUUGGGGCAAACUUUUCUUUAACCUCCUCUUGAAUCGGAAGAGUUUGCUUCAAAACUUUAUCCCUUACUUCAAAUAAGCGAAAUUUGUUUUUCUUGUCAUAAACAAUGAACCAUCCUUUGCUGACAGCAUUGUCCAUGGAGGGUAACAUUCAACCUCUUUUUUUUUUUUCAUCCAUCGGAGAUAGUAACUCAUUGUGCUCCUUGAUCCAUUUAAUUCCUUCUACCUGAGCCUUCGUCCAAAUGUGCAAGGACGGGAUCUCAAUUUUGGAGGGUAUUAUCACUUCCAUUCGAAGCACAAUGUGUUGCCUCAACUUAGAAAUGUAAUCUCCAGGUGAAAUGCUUACAAAGUUCAAUAGUAAAAAUUUGCAAAAUUAAAGAAAAAAUUCUCUUUUUUUUUCUCUUUUCUUUUUUCACUCCCUUUUUUUUUUCUUUUUUUUUAAGUUAGCUGCUGAAGUAUGUACUCCUUUUGAACAAAUAGUCGAUCAUUCACUUUGCAAAGUAGUAUUAUUGCUCCAUUUUUAUUCAUGAUUAAUCUCCAAAUUUGCAAGAUUUUGACUUCCGUCUUUUCCUUGAUCUUAACCAUAAACACUUGCACAAGGGGGAUUUUUCAAAGCACUUGAAUUUUUUCAAAAAUUUUUUUGAGCAAUGACAUAACAAUUAAGACUCAUGCAAAGUAUUGACUUAUCAAGAUUUAAAAUAUAUACUUGAUCUUGGACAUACCCUACAAAUAUAUUAUAAAAUUUUUGCCUCAGUUUGAAUUUAUUUGAUGAGAUCUCACAAAUAUAUUACAAAAAAUUUUGCCCCAGUUUGGGCUUAUUUGAGUUGCAAAAUAAUCACAUGCAAUGUGAAUAGAAACUACAUUUUUCAAAUGGAGAAUUUAAAUGUCAUAUCCAAACUCAUAUAGAAGAUUCCAUGAUAAAUCCCUCAAAAUAAAACCAGAUUGCAAAAGAUCUUUUCCUUAUUUUGGGAUCGAUGUUGAGGGAAAAGGGUCACUUUUCUUAUUAGCUCAUCUUUUAGAACCAACCAAAUGGGUAUUAUUGAUGAUUUUGAGGUGGUUCAGGGAGAUAGUAUGUCAGGAUCUGUCUUUUUUUUUUUUUUUUGCCCAAAUUGUAUCUAGCACAUUCAAUAUCACAUCUUGGUGAAAGCAGAUAGUUUAUCACUCUUAUUUCUUGAGAAAACUUAGUCAACAUAUAAGCUGUAUAGGUUUGUAAUACAUGGGUAGAAACGAUAGCUAAACAUAUAAAAACAGGUUAUAGCCUUAUGAUCAUGAGUGAUUGGUAGAUUCCUUAGAGGCAAGAUUUUCACUUCAAAUUGUCAUGAAAGAUAAGUCAGCAAUGGACUUUAUGAGCUUGUAAUGUAGUUUAACAACGAUAGCUAAAAAAACUUUCAUGAACAAUGCACUUAAGAUCGCAUUCCUUCCCAAAAAAUUGCUCCAGUUUUGGACUCAAAAUCUGGAACCCCAUUUUGGCUCUUUUUUUUUCUAGAGGAAAUUCAGCAUUGGAUAUCUUUGCAUUUUCUUUUCAUUUCAUAAUUUUUCAUUUUUUUCACAUUUUUUUUCUCUCUUUUCCCUUCUUUCCCCUUUUUUUAAUACUGAUAUCCCAAUAUUAAUGAUAGAAUUGAAAACUCCCUAAUUUUGGAGUGUAGAUGGUCCUUCUUUUUUUCCGAUAUUGAAGACCAAAUAUCAAUGGUAGAGUCAAACUCCCCCAACUUGUAGUUUUUUCUCCUCUUUUUUUUUUUUUUUCAAAUCUCCUUCCCCAGUAUGGGGGCGCGAUCAUAAGUGAUUUUGAAACGAACCACCAAUUUAGGCUCAAAUAAGGAUGCAAGGGAUAAACAGUAUUUAGAUGGUAGAAACGAUGACCAAAGCAUCAUUCUUAUUUCUCAUGACAACCAAAGUAAAGAAUAAUCUGUUGGGAAAAUCCAUUUCCUUUUGACAUUCGAAAAUUUUUCAUGCAAGGUCAUGAUCAUUUAGGAUUUUAUUUGAAACGAAAUUCUAUUUUUAAAGGCUCAAAUGGGAAAGCAAAUGAUAGAAUCUGUAUAUAUAGAGAAACGAAAGCCUAAAGUAUCAUUCCAAAUUUUCAAAACAAAAUAAGAAGUAAUGUACAUUUUUGCUUUCACUCAGAUGUGGAUUGAAUCUGGUUAGACACACCGGACAUUUUCACGGAAAAAAUUAUCUCACUUUGAAACUAGUCAGCCAAUGCGACUGAUUUUGGAGGUUCAAUAGAAGUGGACAAAAAAUGAAAAUGAAAAGUGUUGAGGUUGAUCUUUAAUGACAAUCUAUCAAAUUUGAAUGACCCCUUUUAUUUCCGACUAUCCUCAUUGAAUAGUUUAGGCCACAAAUCUAGUGUAUGCAAAGAAUUUUGGGAAUUGAACAUGCACUCAUGAAUUUCGAACAAUAGGUCGAAAAAUUUCAAUUUAGCCUUAUUUCUUAAAAUCUAUCAUGAAAUCUCCCAAUGAACAAAUAAAGAAUGAAUAUAUACAAAACAAUAAUUGUCUAAAUAAAAACUUUAUUAUUCAAAUGUUUGAAAUUUUUUUUGUCAAAUAUAAUACAUAUGAGCAAAUAAAAAUCUCUAAAGAAUACACUUUCAAAUAUAUGCACGCUUUCUCUUUCUAUCUUUUGAGACAAAAUAUAUUAGACACAAUGAAUCAAAAGAUUUUUGAGAUACUUUACACUAGCGUUUUCAAAUGGAUUUGUCAUUCAUUUUUUUCAUCAUCAUUUUUUUUUACAUUGUAGGAUCUGCCCAAGAAUCAAGUAACACUUGUAAUUUUUAAAAUUUAUCAGACCAAAAAUAUUAUCAGAUAUAGGAAAAAUAUUUUUACCUUGUUGAAACAACUUUUAUAAAUGUAGGGGAGGGGGAAAAAUAAAAAAAAAAUACCCAAAGUUAGUAAGUAAAACUGUAAAAUCGGUAUGCAUGUCCUAUGAGAAACCCCUUUUAUGCCAAGGAUUGAUCUAGUAUGAAAAAUGCAAUCCUCUGGAGUAGACACCAUACCAUACCUGAUGGAUCCGAUUGACUUAUUGAGAUUCAAUUGAAGUGCAUUUGAAACAAAUUGGACUAAUUGGAUUUUUUUUUUCGACAAUGAUAGAUAACUAACAAAAUGAGGACAAAGUUCGAAUGGAUUGAUUGCUUUGAUUGGCACAAGAAGCGAUGUUAAAAAUCAAUUUAGUGUAAAAAACUUAUUUUUGAAAGAAUUGAAAUGUCUCGACUAGUUUCUUCAGUGAACCAUAGAUUGAAACUUUAAAAGAGAACAAACGGAUUAAAUGAAUCGAAUGAAAUUGGUGAUUAGUUCAAAAAGUGAUUGGAUUAUCCUAAAAGUGAAUAAAACUGGUCAAAUGGAUUGGAUGAAAUUGAUGAUUUAUUAAAAAAUUGAUUGAAUUGUCCUAAAAAGAAUAACGAAUUGGAUGGAAUUGAUGAUUUAUUCAAAAUUUGGCUGAAUUAUCCUAAAAGUGAAUGAACGGAUCAAAUGGAUUGAAUGAAAUUGAGAGUUUAUUCAAAAAUUGGCUGGACCACCCUAAAAAGGGGUAAAUUGGUCAAAUGAAUUGAAUGAAAUUAAUGAUUUAUUUCAAAUUUGACUAGACUGUCCUAAAGAUGAAUCACUGGAUUGACAAAAUGAAUUGGAUAAAAUUGAUGAAUAAAUUGGUCAAAUGAUUUGAAUGGAAUUAAUGAUUUAUUCAAAAAUCGAUUGAAUUGUCUACCCAUUGGUAGUUUCAAAAAAUUCAUUGCGAUACAUUAGUUUAUGAGCCUUCUAAAAUCAAGAUUUGGCCUCAAUCAUAUUUAUCGUCUCAACAAAGUGAAAUUAUUUGUGAAUUUCUUCAACUUAAUGUCCUUUACGCAAGGGGUUCUUUACCAAUUUUGAUAAAAUGGUCAAAAAGUGAUUAUUAGAUGUUCAUAUUUUAACGUGCAAAAAAUUGCUCUAUUAUCUUAAAAAAGAUCGGAUCCUUACCUUACCUCGUGCACUACCCCUUCGGACAAUACAAGAAAUAUAAACGUGCAAGUCUCAUUGGAUUAUAUAUCCGAGACAAAAGGUGGCUUAUUCCUAACGUGGGAUUCCCUAUGCGGCAUUCCCUUUAUGGUUAAUGCAUGAUGACAAUUUAUUAAAGCGCAUUAAAUAUACAAUGAAAUAAUUGAAAUAUGACCUAAAGUGCCUCAUUUAAAUGCUGAGAUAAGCUUAAAAUGAUGUGCAAUACAUACGUAUAUUAUCAAUGCAAUUAACUAAAAUUUAAACAUGCUUGAUAUAAAAGGCGGUCUUGUUCUAAAUGAGUACCAUUUCAGGACUCUUACUUUUUAGGGUUUAUGAAUGCAAUGGAGAUAAAAACCAAGAAAAGUUAGUUCAAUCAGGCAAUAUACACAUUAGAUCUAAAUGUAAUAGUAUAUAUACUAUGAGUACAUAUAGAAUUUACUCUUACUUCUAAAUGUUUUUUUUCCUGAGUUCAUUGCUUCCUGAGUAUACGCUGAUAUCAAUUAUACAUAAUUAAUACGAAACACAUAUCCUUAUACUAUAUAAGAACGAGUUAAGGACUAGAUUUCAAUCGCAGGGGUAAGGUUAUUUUGGGAAUGUUUGAAGAGUGAUUGGAACAUUGAAUACAAGUCAUUAUAACUUUAAUUUCAUUAUAAUUACUUAUAUAACCUUUCAGACAUUUAAGAUUAGGGGCAUGUUUGGUAUGUUACAAUUUUUGGUGCCAAGUUGAGUAUCAAGUACAACUGAAUAAAUCUUGUAUUUUGAUAGAAUUACAUAAAAGUCCUUUUAAUCAUUUAUUAUACUAACAUCCAAGCCUUCCAAUUUCCUGAAACCUUUCUCAUCCGUUAAGGAAUUAAUUGGAUGUUUACAUAAUUGGAUUUUAAUUACAAUUAAUUAACUUAAUUAUUAUCUGAACAAUCAUUAUCAUAUUUAUGUCCCCCAUGUUUAGCUGAUACCCUUUUUUCUUUUUCGGUUUCACCUCUUUGAUUUUAUUAUGGCUAUUAAAUAUUUGGUGGAAUGCAUAACUUUUCCUUUAAAUUGAGGUGAGUUCUUUAGCUUUGUUCUCUUCGAUUGUAGUUUUUUUUCCUGAUGAUUAGUUUAUUCAACAACUCCAUAUAAUUUGCUUUUUAAUAUUUCUAAUUCCAAAAACUAACUAAUUGUAUUGUUUUUCUUAGUAGAUCCCAGAGAUUCUGUCUUUGGUUAAAGUACAAUUUGAGAUAAUGUUGUCACUUUCUAAAAUAAUCAGAAAAGCAAUUUUAUCAUCCUUUUCUCCUCAACCAAGGUAUUAUCUCUUUAUUUAAGUCAAAUAAUCUUAUUUCUCAUGAACUUUCUCCUAUUAUUCUUGAUUCCAGGGAUCUGUUGACUACAUUCCAGCAGUUAUGGUUCAAGUAGUUAUUUUUUCAUGUAAUAUGAUUUGGAAUUCAGGUUGUGUUUAUUUUAAUUGGGAAUUUUAUGAUUGUAAAAUUUAUUAACUUAGAAUUUUGUACUUCAUUGAAACUGAAAAAGAAAAUUAAUCAUGCUACAUAGUACUAAGAUGUCAUUUGCACUCUAUUUACUUUCCAUGUUAUGAUCUCGUUCUUGUAUUAUACUGUUUAUAUAGUUUCAAAUACAAAAAAUUUGCUUUUUUAUGCUAUGUAAAAGAAUUUGCAGUGAAACUUGAUGAGUUUAAAUGCUUUAGCUACAGCACCAUUUUGAUUGCAUUGUAUUAAUUUAUUUACUCAUAAUUGUAUGUUGUACAAUGAUAAAUAAUGUUUCUUGAUUUGAUUGAAGCAACUAUUAUCCAUAGUUCAAACGAGUCAAUUAAGUAGAAAUGUUAUAUUGGAUACUUACAUAAGUAAACAUUGGAAAAUAUCAUUAAGCAAUUUCUACCUAUAGUUUGCAAUUCGAAUUCAUAUGAGAAAUUUCUUCUGAUUUUACUUACCAUUUUCUACAAUUUCAAAUUUAGAAAAUAUUAUUUGCACCAAUUUUCUAUAAUCAAGGUAGUUUCAAUUCAGAUCUUUAACAAUUACGCAGAUUUGAACUUAUUUAUGAGAUUAUAAAGAAAUUCCCCUAGCCAAAAACACCAAAUCUAAAUAGUUUCUACAAAACUUUAAAAAAAAUCACUUAAGUUUCUUAUCUAUCUAUCAUUUUUGAGCAUUAUUAUCUCUGUAAGAAACAUGUGAUUAAGUCGUAUUAUACCCAUCAAAUUAUAUAAAUAGUUAGUAAAAAAUAAAAUUAUUUUAGAUUAGAUUGGACGCAAAGUGAUUGAUGGAUCAACUUGACUUGAUAAUUCAGGUUGAGCUUAAGUCGAGGGAGAAAUCAGAAGCAUUGCUUGAGAGAUCUUUCACGAACAUAGAUAGAUUCGAGAGAUGAAGGAUCCAAUUGAUACUUUAAAAUGUUUUAUCAUCUUGGAUAAGUUUUAGAAGACACUUUUGGAUACUUUUCAAUUGCACUUCAAACAUUUUUACAUUUUCAAACUACCCUUAUCUUUGCAGUUGAAAUUCAAACAUAACCAUUGAUCGCAACGGAUUCUUAUAUAGUAUAAAGAUAAGGAUGUCUUAUUGCAUAUUAUUUUUAUUGACUCACUAUAUAACUUAUGAUUUUUCUAUUAAAAUCAUAUGAUAAAACCAUCAAACUUCAGUUUUUAUCCUACAAAAUAUUAAACAAUAAUUAUUAAUUAUCUUGAAUCACAAGCACCAAAUUCCCGCGCAUCGCGCGGGCUGUCCCUCCCUAGUAUAGGUUAUAACAUGAUCUUGCUGAACUAAAACUAGUUGGAAUGAAAUAUCAGUUUUCAACGUUGCCUUUCUAGUAAUCGGUAGUAGGUACGAUGAAAAUUCAAAAUUGGCGACUGAUCUUUGUUCAAACGCCACAUUUACGCGUGAGAGCUUCAUUCUUCGGACGUACUAUACUACCAUGUGCUUGGUUGUUUAAAAAGGGGAAAAAAAAAAUUUUUGACAGUCAUAGGAGUCAUAGGCACAUACAAAUAUCUAAAUUGUAAGUAUAAACUUUCUUCUAACCACCCGUCCAAAGGCUGGUGGUUACUACCAAAGCAUUAAAAGUUGGAUAGGAUGGGAGGCAAGGGUUCAAUUAUCACAUUAAAGUGAUUUUGUUUAAAAAAAAAUUCAGAUGGAUGAGUAGUGCACCUGUUUGAUUAGUGGUAGUUCAGUUCCCUCUGAAUUAUUCUUGGGUCUCCUUAGGUCCAUUCCCUCCCCCUAAUAUAGGCUAAAUUAGGUUAUACAACAGUUAUCGUUUCUGAAAAAAAGAUAUAAAUUUUCUUCUGAGGAUUUAUAAUACUGCAUGAAUUUCUUAAAUAAUAAUGAUAAUAAUAAUUAGAGACUGUGUAUAAUGUGUGCAUAGCUACAACUUAAUUAGACACUAUAGAUAUAGAACAACAUAUUUCCUUAAAAAAUAUAUGUACAUACACCUUCCAAAUAUAAAUACAUUAUACAUAUACCUUAUAUUUUCCUUAAAAAGGUAAUUAUACAGAAAAUUUAGUAUUACUUGUUUCUAAACAAAUAUAUAAUUAAAUUUAUUAUAAUAUAUGUAUUACCUUUAUAAAAUAUAAUUAAAUCAUUUUUAGGCUCGAAUUUGAGUUCAAGCUCAAAUUCACUCAUUUAGUUUAAUGAAACAAGAUUGAAUUCGAAUUUGAGCUCGAAUAUCAAUGCAAAUUAACCAAUCGAAUUUGAGUAACAUUUAUAACUCAUUUAAUAUUUGAUCGAGUUCGAAUCCUAUUCGUAUAGGCUGAACACCAAAUAUUCUACUUGAUUUGCCUCAUUAUAAGAGUUCUACAAACCAUCAUAGUAUCCAAAUCAUGACCUUCAACUUGUUACUGCAUGUGCAUUUAUAUAAUUUAUGCUAAAUACAGCUAUAACUUCGGGGUAUAAAAAGAAAAAAGAAACCUAGUAUUUCCUUCAUCAUUUCUUUUAAGAGAAAUGUUAAAAGCGCUUUCUUAUUUGCUGGUGGCAGUUCCCUCCCUUUGUUUUUACUCAUAUUAAAAAAAGGCCCCACUUUUCAUUUUAUUUUCAAAAUUAUACCAUUGCUAAAAUAUAAGUUCAAUGGAGGGAGGAUUUUUUUUGUUUUGAUUAACAUAGUCAAAAGCUUUGGAAAGGUAGCAUAAAUAAGCAAGGAGUUCGAUUGACAUUCCACUUCUUUUAAUUGGAUAGUUAUCGUCUUCUUCUAAUUUUGGGAUGCUGCCGCGGUAUGUUUAUUAGUCAAAGAAAAGGUGUGGAAAGGCGGGGCUGAGUGAUUGUGGCCACAAAUGGUAGGGAGAGUGUCUUGGAUGGACACGUGUAAAGGGUUGUUGUGACCUGCAACCUGCGUUGAAGGGGAUUGUAACUGUAAAUGUGAAAUGUGGAGUGUAUAAAUUAAGCAACUUGGAAAGUGAGAGGGUCGCACGUGAAAGUAAGAUGUUAAGUGCCUAAAUUAAGCAACGUGCAAAGUAAGAGGGUCCUACGCAAAAGUAAGGGCAGGCAAAAGGGCGCGAAGCUUGGCGAAGAAGUUAAACACUGUAAGCAUAUAAAAUGAACAAUUUAAUAAAUUUAAGCAUUAAAUUUAUAAUGAAUAAAUUAUGGAUUCCAACCUCAGGUGUUAAUUUUAUAAUGAAUAAAUUAUUACUUUAUUUUAAAUAAAACCCGUAAAUCUGGUUUGUUAAAUUAUACCCAUAAUCAUUUAUUAUACAGGUAUAUUAUGAGUACUUACUAACUAAAGUACUAAGUUUUAAUCAUUAAUAAAACAUCUUAUCAUUAUUUCAAAUAAACUUCCUAAUACUACUUUGAGAUAAGUUUAAUGUAAAAAUUGUACGUGCAUUCCAAAAAAUGGUAAAUUUUGAUCCUUAAUCAUUUUUAUUGCCAUGUUAUUAGUAAGAAUUACUAUUUAUGUAUAAAAACUUACUGUUAUUUGAACUAAAAUUACUCUUUUAAAAGUAAGUUUGGGAUAUAAAGUAGUAAUCUAUUUAUUUAAAAAUUAAGUUUAAUAUUUAUUCAAAUUUACCUUUUGAGGUAUAAAAGUUACUAAUCUAUUACACUUAACUUACUAUUUUAGAUAGGAAACUUACUUCUAUAAUUUUAGAUGUUAUUCUAUUUAGGUGAAUAGGUCCAACAAUAAAUCAAAUGAUCGCUAAAAGUGCAACAACAUGUUAUAUUAGGUAAAAACUAUUUCGCUACCAUAACUAUCGUUUAGUAUCUAUAUGUAUUGCUAAGGGAGUUUUGGAUAAGGAGCUUCCAAAAUUGUCAAAAGUCUGAAUGCUAUUUUAAUAGAAUUUUACAUUUUUAUAAUUAAAAAAUAUUUAUCUCUUAACUAAUCAUGUAACCGCCCCUACAAAUCCUAUAAUCAUGCUCAUAUUUUUUCCACAUUUCCCUCGCGUUUUUUCCACUACCCCAUAAAAUUCAAACUCCUAAACUUUAGCUAACGGAUAAUAACCAUCCCUGUAAAAUGAUAUCUGCAAAUUCCAAUACACAUCUCACAUUUAUUACUGACACUUAUCAUAUCACUUAUAGUAAUAACUAAUCGUUAAUUUAAGAAAUUCGCAACUAUGAAAGUCAAAUAUCCAAAAUUUAGGAGCCUGUUUAAAUUACAAUUUUCACAAUUCAACAUAUCUUAUUGUCAUAAUAUAUUUUACUCUCACAAUCAUUCACAAAUUAUAAAGGGAUUAAAAAUAAAUAGUUUUUUUAAUAAAAAAUUAAAAGGUAGUUAAUUCACACACACACACACACACACACACACAUAUAUAUAUAUUCUCAUAAUAUAAACUUAAAUUAUAAAAAAUUAGGAGGGCUAACUUUUUUUACACAAAUAUUUACACAAUAUGAAUUAAAAUUUUUAAAACUUUGGGAAGAAGCGACCUAUGGCCCCGAUUAGCCCCUAUUAGUUUGGGAAUGUUUGGAUAGCAGAUUUCUCCAAAUAAUAUUUUGCUUACAUCAUAAACACAUUUUUCAACCCACCUUUUUAUCUCACAUACAUCAUAUCACAAAAAGUGCUAUCGUAAUUAUUUCAAAUAAUAUUUUAAAUAACACUCUAUCCAAACAAAUUUCAAUAGCGUCUUAGUUCCAAACCUGCAAGAUUACAAAAGAAAAAAUAACUGAUCACAAAAUGAAUUUUACACUAUGGUGAUCCCACUCAAAUGUAGUUAUUUCACGCACACACGCAUACAUAUAUACUUAUAUAUAUACUCAUAAUAUAAACUAAAAUUAUAAUAAAUUUGGAUGGCCAGUUUUAUUUUACACAAAUAUUUAUAUAAUAUGAAUUAAAAUUUUUAAAACUUGGGGAGGAGGGCUAUGACCUCCAUUAGCCCCUAUUGGUUCCAUUAUUGAUUUCAAUGGCAUCUUAAUUUCAAACCUGCAAAAUUACAAAGAAAAACAAAUAACUGAUCACAAAGCGAAUCUCACACCAUAGUGAUCCCAAUGAAAUAUUUUAAAAAGAUUCAGCAAAUCACUUAAAAAAAAAUACAAGUCUUGCUGAACUUUUUUUGUAGUACGAAUUCUUCAAAAUUCAAUAGAAUUAAUUAAACCACCAUACUAAAAGUUGAUUGGUGUAAAAAAUGUUCGCACCUAUGUACAAGAUUAUCAAAUCGAAUGCAUAAUGUUGGUAAGUAUUUCAUUUUAAAAUAAAAAAAAUGCAAUUAUAUUUAUUUCUAUCCAUAUAUCAUUCAUUUUCUAAUAUAAAUUAUUAUUAUUAUUAUUUUAAGAUGCAUCUUCCCCAAAAACACAAUUCUUGAAUGAUUUACAAUUUUUGUCAUACUUUGAACUAUUGUUAGACAAAUCUUAAAUUUUAAUUAUGUUGGUAUAAUUUUUUAAACUUUUUUUAAAUUAAAAUGGUAUAAUCUUUUAAUUUAUUUUAACAAUGUAAGCACUGUGCGUAGCAAGCUGUCCUUGUAUGACCGAGCCUGAGAGUUUAAGCAUGUUUUGGUUGAAUUUUAUAAUUCAAAAUUUUGGGUUUGGAGGGAAUAGGUUAUGCCACGCCCCAUUUUUCGCGAUGGAAAAAUAAAAGAGAUGUUUAUAAAAGAUGUGAUUUUAUUUUAAAACAAGUAAAAAAGGACCUAAAAUGGGACUUUGAAAAAUGCGACAAUUUGGGUCCAAAAUUUAGUCUAAAAGGAUUUUUAAGAAAAAAGAGGAGUCGCCACUUAGUAUUGAGUUGGGGUGUAUCAAGUCACCCCAAAAAUACUUUUUGAUAAGAAUAAAAUAAAACCCUUUUCGACAACUCCAGAUUUUUGAAAAACAAGAGAAAUGGGUUCGGCAGUCACGGUUGAAAAAAGGGAAGACAAAGGUUCGAUUAAUUCAAACCUAAGGCACCCUUUCAAUCUAGUCUAAGCUAGUUGCGAGGUUUAGUCAGAAAAUAAAAAUGUGCAUGAAAAUGUAAUAAAUAUCACACAAAAAUGAAUCUAGCGCAAGUCGACCUAAAGGGUCUAGCAUUGGACUAGCCCAUUUGUAAAAAAAACCUUACUAGCGUUGGACUAGCAAGUAAAAAGAAGGAGAAGCCAUAACUAGCGUUGGACUAGUGUGGUGACGUCAUGCAUUAAUAGUACAUAGUAAAACAAAUAAAGCAUAAAUUAAAACAAAUAAACACAUAAAAGCACGUAGCACAUAACACGUAAACAUAAUAUCUAGAUGCAAAAAUCAUAAGUAAAGCGGAUAAAGCAUAUAACACAUAAGCCACAUAAACACACAACCUAUCUAUUACAUCGGGGAGCCUAAUUACAAUCUAAAAGGAGAAAAUAUAAUAAAAUAAAUCUAGUUAUCCUAUCUAUUACAUUUUUGAGGUAUUUAAAUGCCUCUCAAAUAAUUAUAAAAAUUAACUAAGCACGUGUAAGGAAAUUUGGGUGAACAUUUAAAUCAAACAAAUAAAGCAUAUAAAAAAUAUAUAAACACAUAGGAACACAUAGGAGCACAUAAGAGCACAUAAUUGACAUUGAAAUAAUAAUAAUAGGGAUACCUCCCUUUUGAAGUGGUGAUUAAAUGGAGUCGAAUUGUCCUAUUUAUACUCAAAAUGAACAAAAGAAUCAUGACACCAAUUUAAUUGAAAAAUAAUAAUAACAAAAAUACUAAAUUCACACUAAUAUGUCAAACGUAAAGAAAUUUAAGAACAUUUAAAAAUUACAAGUUAAGUAUAUUCAAAAGUAGCAUAAUUAGCUAUUAAAGGAAAGAAACAAUCAUAAUAAAAAGAGUUAAAAUUCACUAAGGAUUGAAUUGCAAAAAUUGAAAACUUUUGGGGGACAAAAAUUAUAUUUUUCAAAGUUUAGGGGUCAAAAUUAAAUAAAAGAUAAAAUUCAAGGAUCAAAGUGUAAUUAAUUUAAGGACCUAAAUGAAAUAGAUUUAAAAUGUUAUGAGCCGUAGUAAAAUUACUCCAAAGAUUAGGGGCUAAAGUACAAAUUUUGCUUUUGAUUUGGACAAGAAAAGGCCAUGGGCCAUCAUUUUUAUUUAUUUGGGCCGAAAACUAUUUAAACCCAGCUGAAACCCAAAAGAAAUAAGCAGUCCAGUCCAUCAUUUAUCAAUCAAGCCCGACUAAAAACAUGCAUGGGUUCUGACCUUCUAGCCCAACUGAAACCCAAAGAAAUAAACCUAAAUCCAUUUCCAAAAACCAACCAAAAACUAACUCUUGGCCCAACCGAAAAUAAAAAACAUUAGCCCAUUUCGAUUUCUUUUCUUUCUUUUCUUUUUUCCUUCUCUUCUCCUUCCUCUCGUUUCUUCUUUCUCCUUCUCCGGCAGGGUGAAGCUUCUAGCAGCCAUGGCAGCCGUGCCGGCGGUCGCUGGCAAAUUUUUCCGGUCACGAAAAAUUAUCAAAAUACAUAUCCCAACUCGAUUUUUCGCGUAGAUUCCAUUUCCGGAGUUAGUUUUUACCAAAAACGACCCGAAAGUGUCCAAAAUGUCAAAAAAACAGUCCAGUUUUUAUUUUUUUUUCCAAUCACCCUAUCUUUCACCAAAAAUCAUGAAAAUUAUACUACAACACUCUUACAACUCCUACAAUACAAAUAUGAUUUAAUUUCGACAAGAAAACAACAUAAAAGGGCUAAAAUAAAGCAAAACAGUCCCCUGAGAUUCUUUUUUUUCAUUUUGGCAUUUUUUCAAACGGUUAAUAUGCAUGCAUAAGACACAUUUUCUUUUCCUCAAUCUAGUUCAUGCCAUUUCCCAAAUUUCAGCAACACAACAAUUACAAUAAAAAGCCAGCAAACAAGAGAAAUUAAUAUACAACAACAACAAUAAAACCAGCAAAAGCAGGAGAAAUUGGGCAUUGAAACAUGGAUGUAAAAAUAUGAUAAAAAAAAAACUGGGAAAUACCUCUGUAGGUGGUAGUCCCUUGACCAAGAUGUUUGACACAAUUUCCAAGCCUUGAGCGUAUCUUCCUAGCUCCCUUUGGUGAUUGCUUUGUGUGUGGAUGUGUUAGAAGAAAUUGAGAGAGCGAGAGGGAGAAAGAGCCGAGACAAAAAAUUGGAGAGCUUCUUGUUUUUUUUUUUUGUCUGUCUCAAACCAAAAAAAAAAAAAAGAAGCCGAUAGCUGUAUUCUAGAACCCAAAAGUGGAGUUGGCGUUUUUUUUUUCUUUCGUGUCUUGUCUUCUGUGUGAGAGAGCUGAGAGAAGAGAUUUGAGCCAAAAAGGUGGAGUUUGAGUGUUAAGUUGGGCCAAAAUGAUGGUUUUUUCUUCCAAAUGACAAGAAAGAUCAAUGCAAAAAAUAUGAUGAAUUUUUACCAAAAUGAGAAGAAAUGUUAAUAAGGAUGGAGUGUAAAAAUGGGUUAAUAGUGCUUUUGGUGAAGCAAAAUGAUUAGGAUGAUUUUUUUUUUAAAUUUUCUUAAUUUUCUUUCUUUUUUUUUGUUUUGUUUUGCUUUUUUUUGUUUUUUUCUUUUCCUAAACAAACCUGCAAAAAUUAGAAAAAUGCACAUUAAAAUACAAGAAAAUAAAUAAUUCACUAAAUAGAAAAAAAAUUCAAGAAAACAUCAAAAUUUGACAAAAAUUUGGUGUCUACAGCUUGCCCCUCUUUGUCUAGAGUUUCAAAGAAACUCAAGACAAAGACGUAGACACCAAAUUGCUUCCCUGUCUCAUCUCGCUGCACAUGCGCUAAAAUAAUAAACCAAUGCUUGGCUAUAAUUAUUGAGCAAAAUGAUACAAUAACAUUGCAGAAAAUGUGACCGAACUCACGUAGAGUUGCCUACGUAUCCCACCAUGGGAAUUAGGUCAAACGUAGUUCGAAUACAAGUGAACCACAAUGAAACGAGUGCAUUGACCAUCUGUGAUCUUUGCAAAGUCGAAGAAGUCUGAGCUCUCAGAACUUCUAAACAUGAAGCACAAGAUAACUGAGAAACCACAAUUAUUAACCAAAACAGUUAAGAAAAUUAUAUUGUCAUAAUUAGAAAAAGAUGCACGGAGGAACUCGGUUACGCUCCAACAGAAAAUUAAAUGUGAUUGUUUAGAAUGGCAGUAGAAGGGUGCGCGGCGGACGCAGAGACCUCACCAACAAGAUAUUAAAUUUGAUUUUUUUUUAAAAGAUGCGCGGAGGGACGCAGUUACGCUCCAACAGGAAAUUAAAUUAUCAAGAAGGGAGAUAGAAGGGUGCGCGGUGGACGCUGAGACUCACCAACAGAAAAUUAAAUUGUCAAGAAAGGGGAUAGAAGGGUGCGCGGUGGACGCUGAAACUCACGAACAGAAAAUUAAAUUGUCAAGAAGGGGGAUAGAAGGGUGCGCGGUGGACGUUAAGACUCACAAACAGGAAAUUAAAUUUGAUUAGAACGGGAGAUAGAAUGGUGCGCGGUGGACGCUGAGACUCACUAAUAGGAAAUUAAAUUAUCAAGAAGGGGGAUAAAGGGUGCGUGGUGGACGCUGAGACUCACCAACAGAAAAUUAAAUUUGAUAAGAAUGGGAGAUAGAAGGGUGUGCGGUGGGCGCUGAGACUCACCAACAGAAAAUUAAAUUUGAUAAGAACGGGAGAUAGAAGGGUGCGUGACUCACUAACAGGAAAUUAAAUUAUCAAGAAGGGGGAUAGAAGGGUGCGCGGUGGACGCUGAGACUCACCAACAGGAAAUUAAAUUUGAUAAGAAUGGGAGAUAGAAGGGUGCGCGGUGGGCGCUGACACUCACCAACAGAAUUUCACGGCGCUGACACUCACCAACAGAAAAUUAAAUUUGAUAAGAACGGGAGAUAGAAGGGUGCGCGGUGGACGCUGAAACUCACCAACAGAAAAUUAAAUUUGAUAAGAACGGGAGAUAGAAGGGUGCACGGUGGACGCUGAGACUCACCAACAGAAAAUUAAAUUGCCAAGAAGGGGGAUAGAAGGGUGCGCGGUGGACGCUGAGACUCACCAACGGGAAAUUAAAUUGUCAAGAAAUAAUAGAUUGGUGGGAUAAGACUCAACCCCAACAAAAUAAAAAAAAAUGGUCAGCAGGAUAAAACCCAAAUCUGCCAAGAUUGGUGGGAUGCAACCCAAGCCCAACAAAGAUAAAAACGGUCAGUGGGAUAAAAUCCAAACCUGCCGUAAUGAUAAAAGAUACGUUAGUGGGUUGAAUCCCAUGCUAACGGAUAUGAAGAAAUAAAACACGCGUUAGUGAGUUGUACUCGAUGCUAACGGUGAUAAAGAUUAUGUUAGUGGGUUGGACCCGAUACUAAUGGUGAAAGAAGAUACGUUAGUGGGUUGAACCCAAUGCUAACGGAUAUGAAAAAUACGACACUCGUUAGUGAGUUGUACUCGAUGCUAACAGUGAUAAAAGAUAUGACACACGUUAUUGCAUGAAAAAGUUUUUGAAUACUUACCUAAAAAAUCAUUUCAAAAAUUGACUCAGUUUGAAUCAAUUUUGUACAACCAAUCAUCUGCUUUGCAUUUUGGCAUUGUUGCUCAAGUUGGUGGAUUUGUAAUCUUCUUUUUUUUUUUCAAACUUUAGAAGAAAUGAAAGAAACACACAUAUUUUUUUUUGUUUUUUUUUGUUUUUUGAAAAAAAUCAAAAGUGACGAAUUCUAAAACUUGAAGAAUACUAAUGACAACUCUCCCUUCAAGAGAUUUGAGAGGUACAUACAUAUGUCACUGUCCUCUCGAUUUUAAAAGACUUUUUUUUUCACAAAGCCGAUUUAAAAUGCAUUACCAAAAUUGGAGUUCAUUCCUUUUGAUAUUUACUUCAGUGUAAAUCAUGUUUAACGAAUGCCACAUUUUUCAUGCUUUCGAAAAAGUAAAAAGAGUGAUCAUAUGAUACCAAUACCAUGUGAUUCCUUGUGCUCCUUUUGGCCCUGAGAACCAUGCAAGCAUGAUCUUUCGAUGUCAAAACUGCUCCUCAAGAGUUGUGCUGCAACUUGUUUUGAAUCUUUUCAAUUUUCUAGCAUCAGUCAGCCAUACCUCAGUUUGUACCACAAAUCAACUUUUCUAACGACUAGAUUUGAAUGAAUGGCCAGUAUUUCAAGUGUCGGCAACCCGCUUUUCGUUCAUGAUUCUCUUAUGCUCCAAAAUCUCACCUUGAUGACCUUAACCUUUCGGAUUUUCACAAAGGUCACACCUUUUUAUUUUAUUUUGUUUUCAUUUUCUAUUGUUUUUUUCUUUUUCUUCUUUUUUUUUCUUUUUCAUCCUUCUCUUUUUUUCUUUUUCUUUUUUUUUGUUCUUUUUUUUUCUUUUUUUCAUUUUUUUGAAGACACCCUUUCAGGUUUUCACCUAAUGAACAAAUCUUGUUAGCGACCUUUAUCAACUCAGAAAUGUAUUUAAAGAAAGGAUGGCAUCGGCGCGACAACCCUUCCCAUGUAAAAAUGGUAAAGGUAUAUUAACAUCAUUUGCCAUUUGAUUAAGUGAUUUUUAUUAGAAAUACCACUAAGGCGGAGGUCGAGACUUUAUGAUUUUUAUGAUGGGGUCAUGUGGGGUGUAGAAAAAGUGUUAAGGCUUCAAAGCAAAAUCUUCAAAGAGGUUUCAAAAACCCUAAGACCGCAUUCUAUCAAUAUUUGCCCCAGUAUGAGGGUAUUAAAAUCGAAAAAAUUGUCCUAGUUUGGCUUUUGAAUCUUUGUUUUUUCUUUUUUCCUUUUUUUUAUGACAAAUAGGAGAUAAAAAUUUACCCCAGUAUAGGGUUUGCAAUCUUUAGGGGGCUAUCAAACGAAUGAUUAAGUUAUUCUGAAGGUUCACAGGGAAAAAUCAGGGAUAAAAUGUUCAAAGAGAAAAGAAGAAGACCCGUCUUUAAUCCACCUUAAAUGGUAUCUCAAAAAGAAGAGUCACAUAAUCAGAUAAAGAAUUUUUUACACAUGUCUGAAUUGAUUGGCAGAGGAAAAACCUGUCCAUCCAGUUCUGUGAGAAUGGGUGUUCCUCCAGAUAGCACUCUUUGAACAGUAAAUGACCCUUGUCAAGUUGGGGCAAACUUUUCUUUAACCUCCUCUUGAAUCGGAAGAGUUUGCUUCAAAACUUUAUCCCUUACUUCAAAUAAGCGAAAUUUGUUUUUCUUGUCAUAAACAAUGAACCAUCCUUUGCUGACAGCAUUGUCCAUGGAGGGUAACAUUCAACCUCUUUUUUUUUUUUUCAUCCAUCGGAGAUAGUAACUCAUUGUGCUCCUUGAUCCAUUUAAUUCCUUCUACCUGAGCCUUCGUCCAAAUGUGCAAGGACGGGAUCUCAAUUUUGGAGGGUAUUAUCACUUCCAUUCGAAGCACAAUGUGUUGCCUCAACUUAGAAAUGUAAUCUCCAGGUGAAAUGCUUACAAAGUUCAAUAGUAAAAAUUUGCAAAAUUAAAGAAAAAAUUCUCUUUUUUUUUCUCUUUUCUUUUUUCACUCCCUUUUUUUUUUCUUUUUUUUUAAGUUAGCUGCUGAAGUAUGUACUCCUUUUGAACAAAUAGUCGAUCAUUCACUUUGCAAAGUAGUAUUAUUGCUCCAUUUUUAUUCAUGAUUAAUCUCCAAAUUUGCAAGAUUUUGACUUCCGUCUUUUCCUUGAUCUUAACCAUAAACACUUGCACAAGGGGGAUUUUUCAAAGCACUUGAAUUUUUUCAAAAAUUUUUUUUGAGCAAUGACAUAACAAUUAAGACUCAUGCAAAGUAUUGACUUAUCAAGAUUUAAAAUAUAUACUUGAUCUUGGACAUACCCUACAAAUAUAUUAUAAAAUUUUUGCCUCAGUUUGAAUUUAUUUGAUGAGAUCUCACAAAUAUAUUACAAAAAAUUUUGCCCCAGUUUGGGCUUAUUUGAGUUGCAAAAUAAUCACAUGCAAUGUGAAUAGAAACUACAUUUUUCAAAUGGAGAAUUUAAAUGUCAUAUCCAAACUCAUAUAGAAGAUUCCAUGAUAAAUCCCUCAAAAUAAAACCAGAUUGCAAAAGAUCUUUUCCUUAUUUUGGGAUCGAUGUUGAGGGAAAAGGGUCACUUUUCUUAUUAGCUCAUCUUUUAGAACCAACCAAAUGGGUAUUAUUGAUGAUUUUGAGGUGGUUCAGGGAGAUAGUAUGUCAGGAUCUGUCUUUUUUUUUUUUUUUUUGCCCAAAUUGUAUCUAGCACAUUCAAUAUCACAUCUUGGUGAAAGCAGAUAGUUUAUCACUCUUAUUUCUUGAGAAAACUUAGUCAACAUAUAAGCUGUAUAGGUUUGUAAUACAUGGGUAGAAACGAUAGCUAAACAUAUAAAAACAGGUUAUAGCCUUAUGAUCAUGAGUGAUUGGUAGAUUCCUUAGAGGCAAGAUUUUCACUUCAAAUUGUCAUGAAAGAUAAGUCAGCAAUGGACUUUAUGAGCUUGUAAUGUAGUUUAACAACGAUAGCUAAAAAAACUUUCAUGAACAAUGCACUUAAGAUCGCAUUCCUUCCCAAAAAAUUGCUCCAGUUUUGGACUCAAAAUCUGGAACCCCAUUUUGGCUCUUUUUUUUUCUAGAGGAAAUUCAGCAUUGGAUAUCUUUGCAUUUUCUUUUCAUUUCAUAAUUUUUCAUUUUUUUCACAUUUUUUUUCUCUCUUUUCCCUUCUUUCCCCUUUUUUUAAUACUGAUAUCCCAAUAUUAAUGAUAGAAUUGAAAACUCCCUAAUUUUGGAGUGUAGAUGGUCCUUCUUUUUUUCCGAUAUUGAAGACCAAAUAUCAAUGGUAGAGUCAAACUCCCCCAACUUGUAGUUUUUUCUCCUCUUUUUUUUUUUUUUUUCAAAUCUCCUUCCCCAGUAUGGGGGCGCGAUCAUAAGUGAUUUUGAAACGAACCACCAAUUUAGGCUCAAAUAAGGAUGCAAGGGAUAAACAGUAUUUAGAUGGUAGAAACGAUGACCAAAGCAUCAUUCUUAUUUCUCAUGACAACCAAAGUAAAGAAUAAUCUGUUGGGAAAAUCCAUUUCCUUUUGACAUUCGAAAAUUUUUCAUGCAAGGUCAUGAUCAUUUAGGAUUUUAUUUGAAACGAAAUUCUAUUUUUAAAGGCUCAAAUGGGAAAGCAAAUGAUAGAAUCUGUAUAUAUAGAGAAACGAAAGCCUAAAGUAUCAUUCCAAAUUUUCAAAACAAAAUAAGAAGUAAUGUACAUUUUUGCUUUCACUCAGAUGUGGAUUGAAUCUGGUUAGACACACCGGACAUUUUCACGGAAAAAAUUAUCUCACUUUGAAACUAGUCAGCCAAUGCGACUGAUUUUGGAGGUUCAAUAGAAGUGGACAAAAAAUGAAAAUGAAAAGUGUUGAGGUUGAUCUUUAAUGACAAUCUAUCAAAUUUGAAUGACCCCUUUUAUUUCCGACUAUCCUCAUUGAAUAGUUUAGGCCACAAAUCUAGUGUAUGCAAAGAAUUUUGGGAAUUGAACAUGCACUCAUGAAUUUCGAACAAUAGGUCGAAAAAUUUCAAUUUAGCCUUAUUUCUUAAAAUCUAUCAUGAAAUCUCCCAAUGAACAAAUAAAGAAUGAAUAUAUACAAAACAAUAAUUGUCUAAAUAAAAACUUUAUUAUUCAAAUGUUUGAAAUUUUUUUUGUCAAAUAUAAUACAUAUGAGCAAAUAAAAAUCUCUAAAGAAUACACUUUCAAAUAUAUGCACGCUUUCUCUUUCUAUCUUUUGAGACAAAAUAUAUUAGACACAAUGAAUCAAAAGAUUUUUGAGAUACUUUACACUAGCGUUUUCAAAUGGAUUUGUCAUUCAUUUUUUUCAUCAUCAUUUUUUUUUACAUUGUAGGAUCUGCCCAAGAAUCAAGUAACACUUGUAAUUUUUAAAAUUUAUCAGACCAAAAAUAUUAUCAGAUAUAGGAAAAAUAUUUUUACCUUGUUGAAACAACUUUUAUAAAUGUAGGGGAGGGGGAAAAAUAAAAAAAAAAAUACCCAAAGUUAGUAAGUAAAACUGUAAAAUCGGUAUGCAUGUCCUAUGAGAAACCCCUUUUAUGCCAAGGAUUGAUCUAGUAUGAAAAAUGCAAUCCUCUGGAGUAGACACCAUACCAUACCUGAUGGAUCCGAUUGACUUAUUGAGAUUCAAUUGAAGUGCAUUUGAAACAAAUUGGACUAAUUGGAUUUUUUUUUUCGACAAUGAUAGAUAACUAACAAAAUGAGGACAAAGUUCGAAUGGAUUGAUUGCUUUGAUUGGCACAAGAAGCGAUGUUAAAAAUCAAUUUAGUGUAAAAAACUUAUUUUUGAAAGAAUUGAAAUGUCUCGACUAGUUUCUUCAGUGAACCAUAGAUUGAAACUUUAAAAGAGAACAAACGGAUUAAAUGAAUCGAAUGAAAUUGGUGAUUAGUUCAAAAAGUGAUUGGAUUAUCCUAAAAGUGAAUAAAACUGGUCAAAUGGAUUGGAUGAAAUUGAUGAUUUAUUAAAAAAUUGAUUGAAUUGUCCUAAAAAGAAUAACGAAUUGGAUGGAAUUGAUGAUUUAUUCAAAAUUUGGCUGAAUUAUCCUAAAAGUGAAUGAACGGAUCAAAUGGAUUGAAUGAAAUUGAGAGUUUAUUCAAAAAUUGGCUGGACCACCCUAAAAAGGGGUAAAUUGGUCAAAUGAAUUGAAUGAAAUUAAUGAUUUAUUUCAAAUUUGACUAGACUGUCCUAAAGAUGAAUCACUGGAUUGACAAAAUGAAUUGGAUAAAAUUGAUGAAUAAAUUGGUCAAAUGAUUUGAAUGGAAUUAAUGAUUUAUUCAAAAAUCGAUUGAAUUGUCUACCCAUUGGUAGUUUCAAAAAAUUCAUUGCGAUACAUUAGUUUAUGAGCCUUCUAAAAUCAAGAUUUGGCCUCAAUCAUAUUUAUCGUCUCAACAAAGUGAAAUUAUUUGUGAAUUUCUUCAACUUAAUGUCCUUUACGCAAGGGGUUCUUUACCAAUUUUGAUAAAAUGGUCAAAAAGUGAUUAUUAGAUGUUCAUAUUUUAACGUGCAAAAAAUUGCUCUAUUAUCUUAAAAAAGAUCGGAUCCUUACCUUACCUCGUGCACUACCCCUUCGGACAAUACAAGAAAUAUAAACGUGCAAGUCUCAUUGGAUUAUAUAUCCGAGACAAAAGGUGGCUUAUUCCUAACGUGGGAUUCCCUAUGCGGCAUUCCCUUUAUGGUUAAUGCAUGAUGACAAUUUAUUAAAGCGCAUUAAAUAUACAAUGAAAUAAUUGAAAUAUGACCUAAAGUGCCUCAUUUAAAUGCUGAGAUAAGCUUAAAAUGAUGUGCAAUACAUACGUAUAUUAUCAAUGCAAUUAACUAAAAUUUAAACAUGCUUGAUAUAAAAGGCGGUCUUGUUCUAAAUGAGUACCAUUUCAGGACUCUUACUUUUUAGGGUUUAUGAAUGCAAUGGAGAUAAAAACCAAGAAAAGUUAGUUCAAUCAGGCAAUAUACACAUAACACAUUUGUAGCAAAACAAUACAAAGAGAUAAAACAAUAAAAGGAAUAGAGGGGUUGGAUUCCUCCCCUCGUGAAUAGUGUCCUAAAUAGGGUAAAGCAGACUCUAUCCUAGGUAAACUAUCAUGGAUGCAUGAGGUAUUGCUCACUAAUACAUCUAGACUCGAUAGGUUUUAGGUCCCCGAGCCUUCAGACUUAGAAACCAAAGGUCAUCAAUCCCAAGGUUCGUUGUCGAUGGCUCGAGUGAUUCCCCAAACACUGCUACGCACACAUUGUGUCACGGUUACGUGUUUGAGUGAAUCUAUAAAAAAUCCUCAACCUUCGACUAAAAGCUAAAAGCUAUCAACCCAAAACUUAAAAUAGAAGAUUGGGUAACCCCUCGGAUUAUGCUAUGCACACAUCAUAUCGCGAUCACACGUCCAAGUGGGUCGCCUAAUCCUAAUAAGGUGGAGUGGCGUGACAAGCCACUAAAAAGAAAAUAAAAUGUAGGGUUGUAAAUAAAUAGCGUAUGCACGUAUGAAGUGCUCCUUUGAGGGGAGGGAUUAACAUUGAAUACGCGUGAAGGCUCUAAGGUAAAAUUCCCCACCCCAAAUGCAAUACGCGAUAUGAAUAAGUAAAUAAACAAAAGUAAAUAAAUAAAUCAUUCAUCUCAUACACGAGGAACGAUGAACCAAUACGAGUGUGAAAUGCAAAACAUCCUAAAAAAGAAAAAUGCAACCUAAACAUCCAAAUAUGAUAAGUAAAAGGGUUAAAAAGAGAAAAGAACAACUAAACCAAGUGCUUGGACCCUCUAGCGUCCCCAGUGGAGUCGCCAAGUUGUCGCGCCCCAUUUUUUGCGAUGGAAAAAUAAAAGAGGUAUUUAUAAAAGAUGUGAUUUUAUUUUAAAACAAGUAAAAAAGGACCUAGAAUGGGACUUUGAAAAAUGCGACAAUUUGGGUUCAAAAUUUAGUCUAAAAGGAUUUUUAAGAAAAAAGAGGAGUUGCCACUUGGUAUUGAGUUUGGGUGUACCAAGUCACUCCAAAAAUACUUUUUGAUAAGAAUAAAAUAAAACCCUUUUCGACAACUCCAGGUCUUUGAAAAACAAGAGAAAUGGGUUCGGCAGUCACGGUUGAAGAAAGAGAAGGCAAAGGUUAGAUUAAUUCAAACCUAAGGCACCCUUUCAACCUAGUCUAAGCUAGUUGCGAGGUUUAGUCAAAAUUUUCCUAAUCUAACCCUUAAUUUUAUCAUGUUUAGAUGUUUCCUACAUGAAUGCAAAUCUAAAUUUAUAAAAAUAUCGAAAGGAACAAAUGUUCAUUCAAGGGUUUAAUUGAACCAAUCGCAUUAGUUGCGAAGGCCAAAAUGAUUCCUUGAAAGUAUCACGAGUAUGCAAAUGAUGAAAAAGAAAAGAAACUUAAAUUAUAUAUAUAUAUAUAUAUAUAUAUAUAUAUAUAUAUAUAUAUGUAUAAGUGACCAAAGAAUAGGAAUGCAACAUAAUGGGUACGGGAUACAAAAACUCGUGAUAAAAUUUUCUUAUACAAGGAUUAAUGGGGUAUUUAAACUAAAAAGUUAUAAUCACCCAUAUCCAUGUUCAAAGAAUAAUUCUCUUAAUAUGAACAAGCAAAUGAACUAAUUUAAAUGAGAUGCAAUUCUAAAUGACGUGAUUAACACAUAUAGAGGAUAGGGGAUAAUAUAAUAGGGAAUAUUAUACAAUAUGAGAAAAAUCCUAAAAAUAAAAAUGUGCAUGAAAAUGUAAUGAAUAUCACAUAAAAAUGAAUCUAGCGCAAGUCGACCUAAAGGGUCUAGCAUUGGACUAGCCCAUUUGUAAAAAAAACCUUACUAGCGUUGGACUAGCAAGUAAAAAGAAGGAGAAGCCAUAACUAGCGUUGGACUAGUGUGGUGACGUCAUGCAUUAAUAGUACAUAGUAAAACAAAUAAAGCAUAAAUUAAAACAAAUAAACACAUAAGAGCACGUAGCACAUAACACGUAAACAUAAUAUUUAGAUGCAAAAAUCCUAAGUAAAGCGGAUAAAGCAUAUAACACAUAAGCCACAUAAAUACACAAUCUAUCUAUUACAUCGAGGAGUCUAAUUACAAUCUAAAAGGGGAAAAUAUAAUAAAAUAAAUCUAGUUAUCCUAUCUAUUACAUUUUUGAAGUAUUUAAAUGCCUCUCAAAUAAUUAUAAAAAUUAACUAAGCACAUGUAAGGAAAUUUGGGUGAACAUUUAAAUCAAACAAAUAAAGCAUAUAAAAAAUAUAUAAACACAUAGGAACACAUAGGAGCACAUAAGAGCACAUAAUUGACAUUGAAAUAAUAAUAAUAGGGAUACCUCCCUUUUGAAGUGGUGAUUAAAUGGAGUCGAAUUGUCCUAUUUAUAUUCAAAAUGAACAAAAGAAUCAUAGCACCAAUUUAAUUGAAAAAUAAUAGUAACAAAAAUACUAAAUUCAAACUAAUAUGUCAAACGUAAAGAAAUUUAAGAACAUCUAAAAAUUACAAGUUAAGUAUAUUCAAAAGUAGCAUAAUUAGCUAUUAAAGGAAAGAAACAAUCAUAAUAAAGAGAGUUAAAAUUCACUAAGGAUUGAAUUGCAAAAAUUGAAAACUUUUGGGGGACAAAAUUAUAUUUUUUCAAAGUUCAGGGGUCAAAUUAAAUGAAAGAUAAAAUUCAGGGAUCAAAGUGUAAUUAAUUUAAGGACCUAAGUGAAAGAGAUUUAAAAUGUUAUGGGCCGUAGUAAAAUUACUCCAAAGAUUAGAGGCUAAAGUGAAUAUUUCACUUCUGAUUUGGACAAGAAAAGGCCAUCGGGCCAUCAUUUUUAUUUAUUUGGGCCGAAAACUAUAUAAACCCAGUCGAAACCCAAAAGAAAUAAGCAGUCCAGUCCAUCCUUUAUCACUCAAGCCCGACUAAAAACUGCAUGGAUUCUGACCUUCUAGCCCAACCGAAACCCAAAGAAAUAAACCUAAACCCAUUUCCAAAAACCAACCAAAAACUCACUCUUGGCCCAACCGAAAAUAAAAACAUUAGCCCAUUUCGAUUUCUUUUCUUUCCUUUCUUUUUUCCUUCUCUUCUCAUUCUUCUCGUUUCUUCUUUCUCCUUCUCCGGCAGGGUGAAGCUUCUGGCACCCGUGCCGGCUGCCGCCGUUGCGGCCACCGCGGACUGCCGGCGGUCGUUGGCGAAUUUUUCCGGUCACGAAAAAUUAUCAAAAUACAUACCCCAACUUGAUUUUUUGCGUAGAUUCUAUUUCCGGAGUUAGUUUUACAAAAAAUGACCCGAAGUGUCCUAAAUGUCAAAAAAACAGUCCAGUUUUUAUUUUUUUCCAAUCACCCUAUCUUUCACCAAAAAUCAUGAAAAUUAUACUACAACACUCUUACAACUCCUACAAUACAAAUAUGAUUUUAUUUCGACAAGAAAACAACAUAAAAGGGCUAAAAUAAAGCAAAACAGUCCCCUGAGAUUCUUUUUUUUUCAUUUUGGCAUUUUUUCAAACGGUUAAUAUGCAUGCAUAAGACAUAUUUCCUUUUCCUCAAUCUAGUUCAUGCCAUUUCCCAAAUUUCAGCAACACAACAAUUGCAAUAAAAAGCCAGCAAACAAGAGAAAUUAAUAUACAACAACAACAAUAAAACCAGCAAAAGCAAGAGAAAUUGGGCAUUGAAACAUGGAUGUAAAUAUGAUAAAAAAAAAACUGGGAAAUACCUCAAUGUAGGUGGUAGUCCCUUGACCAAGAUGUUUGACACAAUUUCCAAGCCUUGAGCGUAUCUUCCUAGCUCCCUUUGGUGAUUGCUUUGUGUGUGGAUGUGUUAGAAGAAAUUGAGAGAGCGAGAGGGAGAAAGAGCCGAGACAAAAAAUUGGAGAGCUUCUUUUUUUUUUUUUUUUGUCUGUCUCAAACCAAAAAAAAAGAAGCCGAGAGCUGUAUUCUAGAACCCAAAAGUGGAGUUGGUGUUUUUUUUUUCUUUCGUGUCUUGUCUUCUGUGUGAGAGAGCCGAGAGAAGAGAUUUGAGCCAAAAAGGUGGAGUUUGAGUGUUAAGUUGGGCCAAAAUGAUGGUUUUUUCUUCCAAAUGACAAGAAAGAUCAAUGUAAAAAAUAUGAUGAAUUUUUACCAAAAUGAGAAGAAAUGUUAAUAAGGAUGGAGUGUAAAAAUGGGUUAAUAGUGCUUUUGGUGAAGCAAAAUGAUUAGGAUGAUUUUUUUUAUUUUCUUAAUUUUCUUUCUUUUUUUUGUUUUGUUUUUUUUUCCUAAACAAACCUGCAAAAGUUAGAAAAAUGUACAUUAAAAUACAAGAAAAUAAAUAAUUCAUUAAAUAGAAAAAAAAUUCAUGAAAACAUCAAAAUUUGACAAAAAUUUGGUGUCUACAGGUUAUAUCCAUUGUAAUCAAAACUCAAACAAAUGUGGGGAUAAACUUGGCUAUCACAAUGAACUAUACAAAUGUGGGGAUAAAUCUUAGUUAGUAAGUACUCAUAAUACACCUGUAUAAUAAAUGAUUAUAAGUAUAAUUUAACAUUUUUUUGUAUUUAUAUAUUUUAAAAUACUAUGAAAAGUAACCUUGUAAAAUAUGUAAUAAAAUUUUAUCUUAUCAUAAGUUUGUAAUCAUUUAAAUUUUUGAAAAGUUUGAAAGUUUGAAUAACAAUAACAACAAAUCUUCCUAGUUACAUGUAGAAUAUCACUUGUUUCUAUAUCACAAUUUUUAUAAUUUAACACCUAUGAAUAUAAUAGGGUAAAUUUCAUUUUGUCCCCUCAAACUAUACCCAAAAUCUCACUUCAGUCCCUAAACUUCAAAAUGGGACAUUUAAAUUCUUAAACUAUAUAAUCCGUCCAACUUUACUCCAAAUUUUGACGGAAUACACAAAACCUAAUAGAAUAGUUGCCAAUUCUGUUAGUUAUUAUUAUAAUUAAAGUUAAUCAAAUCCAACAGGAACAUAAGUGUAAUUUCAUGAGACCCAAUAUAAAAAAUAAAAAGACAGAGAGAUAAAGAUAAUUUUACCUCUUUAAUUAAUAUUAAUUAAAGUUUUUUUUCUUUUUUAAACAAAAGAAGCCAAUUUUUUAAACUUUCCUUUUCUUUUUUCCACAUUUUUUCUAUUUUCCUUUCAUUUCCUUUUCUAUUUUUUCUUUCUUUCUUUGCUGCCUUCUUCCUCCAUUACCGCACAUCCACCAUUGCUACACCAUCACCUUCCUUUUCUCCUACCAUCAUCAUUUGCCACCUUUUACUACUCCAUUCUCCUUCUCCCUGGUGAUGAAUCAGAAAACAUAUGUUUAUCACAGAAGGAAUCACCAAAUGUUUGCCAUACCAAUCCAUAGCCAUCCCACCCAAUUUCUUAUCCCCUCUUCUUCACUUGCCCCACCAAAAAUCUCUCCUUCCAUAGUUUCUCUAGCAACCUAGCCCUCCAUUGCUCUAUUGCUCUCUUCUCUUCCCACCAUAUGACCCACCACAAAUAUCCAGGAACCCAGAGCCAUCUGGGAAUCACAUUAUCCGCCAUCCCACCCAAAUAAAAAGCAAGCAUUUGGUCUACAAAAACCGGCCCUGCAAUAGCUACGGUGUACAAAGCAUAAAAAGGAGGCGACAGAGAGUCAUACAAUCUGGCAGCAAAUUCCGAGUCCAAUCUGUGGGCACCAGCUAGCGUCCACGCAUUCUAGUAGAAGCUGGUAAUUUUUGCCAAAAUCAAUAGCACCAGUAUCGCAUAUGCCCCGUGGUACACGGAGUAUCGACACAUGACGAAAACGAAUAAAGUGGCCAGAUGGUGGCUGAUGAAAAGCACAUCUCUUGAGUAGAAAAUCAAGUAAUGGCAUAGGCCCAUCAAGAAAUAGGCAAUGCUGUAAUCGAGCACUAGAUUCUGGAAAGGGGUAUUCUGGGAAUGGAAAUUGCGGUUUGGAUCGAUCAAGAUGGCGCGACUGGCUAAAAACACGGCGGAAGUGCCGUGGGCCAGUGAAAUUACGCAGCUCGACGCUUCCGGCCGGAGAUUCCUAGACCAGUUGCGGAAGAUGACGAAGUAAGCAAUCAAGUAAAGUAGAAGAUGCACAACGAAGAACACAUGAAGAUUUGGCAUCGGCAGCGCACUAGUAGAGAGAUAGGGAGGAAGAGAAAGUAGGCGGGUGAAUAAUUUUUAAAGAUUUGGAGUAUCUCAAAAGCUUUGGAUUGCAUGAAAUUACACUUAUGUCCCUGUUGGAUUUGAUUAACUUUAAUUAUAAUAAUAACUAACAGAAUUGGCAACUAUUCUGUUAGGUUUUGUGUAUUCCGUCAAAAUUUGGAGUAAAGUGGAACGGAUUAUAUAGUUUAAGGAUUUAAAUGUCCCAUUUUGAAGUUUAGGGACUGAAGUGAGAUUUUGAGUAUAGUUCGAGGGGACAAAAUGGAAUUUACCCAAUAUAAUAAGAUAAAUUUAUUAUUUUAUAAUACGAUAAAAUUUUAUUAUUUUCUAAGUUUAUGUGAAAGGUCAAAAUAUUUUUCACAGAAUAUUUAAAAUAUAUAAGUACAAAAGAAUAUUAAAUUAUACAUAUAAUCAUGCAUUAUACAAGUAUGUUACGAGUACUUACUAACUAAUGUACUAAGUUUUAAUCAUUUAUAAAAUAUUUUAUUGUUAUUUCAAAUAAGCUUCCUAGUAUUGAUUUGGUAUAAGCUAUAAAGGAUUGAGUGAUUUGAGCCAGCUGCUUCUGUGUUAAUUUUGACCGGGGUUAACGAACUCAAUGAUUUAGUCCAUCUAACUUAGGUUAGUGGGAAAAUGGGUUACAGUUGGCUGGAAUAAAAUUGUAAUAAACCUGUUUUCCAAUAAAAAACCAACUCUUUAUGACUUUCCUCCAUUAUAAGAACAGAGUACCCCUUUUCCUAAAAAAAAAUUAUUUAUCGGAUAAAAUAAAAAUAAACCCGUUUUUCAAUAAAAUCCUAACUCUUUAUGCCUUUCCUCUAUUAUAAGAACCGUGUACCCAUUUUGCCAUAAACAAAUUUAUUUAUCGAAUAAAAAAAUUUAUUUAACGAAAAAAUAAAAAUAAACCCGUUUCUCAAUAAAACAUCAGUUCUUUAUGGCUUUCCUCCCUUAUAAGAAAAGAGUAUCCAUUUUGCCAUAAACAAAUUUGUUUAUCGGAUAAAAUAAAAAUAAACUCUUUUUUCAAUAAAAAACUAGUUCUUUAUGACUUUCUUCUAUUAUAAGAAUAUAGUACCCAUUUUUCUAAAAAAAAUAUUAUUUAUCGAAUAAAAUAAAAAUGAACCUGUUUUUCAAUAAAACACUAGCUCUUUAUAGUUUUCCUUUAUUAUAAGAACAGAGUACCCAUUUUUUCAUAAAUAAAUUUAUUUAUCGGAUGAAAAAAUAAAUAUAUUUUUCAAUAAAACACCAGUUCUUUAUGACUUUUCUGCGUUCACUACAACAAAAAAGGGUAUUAGCGACAACAGCUUUAGCAAGAAGUAGAAAGCUUGAUGCUAUUAAGAGGCUUAUAGCAAGAAAAAGGAUAAUACCUCACCAAAAAUUGGAGCCAUCAUAUACUCUGCGAGGGCAAGGACUUUUCUCGCUUAAAAUUCUCGCCAAAAGGAGUGUGGGAAAGCUACCCUCCAAAUACUGAUUCUAGUGGGCCAAAGUUUCUAUGUUAUUGGUGAGAAAUCAUGGGUGCUUUUUUGUGAAAAUUUUAAAAUUUUGCUCCUUUCCAAUUUUUAGCAGAGCCGCGCAUUGAAAAUUUUUUAAUCAUUCCUGGCACAACACUUGUCAAGCGUAGCACCACAUGAAUUCCAAGCCUUCCAUACUUGCAAGGCUACUUUCCCAAAUAUUGUUCCCAGAUCAAAGCCCUCGAAAGUUCAAUCGCAACUAGGGAUGGCAAUGGGGGCGGGUGCCCGCGGGUGCCCGCCCCGCGGGGGGCUCUCGGGGCGGGGGUUGGGGCGGGAGGUGGGGCGGGGGCGGGGGGGAAUUUUUUCCCCCCGCUUAGAAACGGGGCGGGGGGCGGGGGUAUACUCCCCCGCCCCAUCCCCGCCCGCCACCCGCAAAAAAAAAAAAUAUAAUUAUAUAUAAUAUGUAAGUUAAUUAGUUAUAAACUUAUGAUAAUGAUAUUAUUAGUUAGAUGUAUUAUAUAAUGUAUAUUAGUUUAUGUAAUAUAAUUGAUAUUAUCAAUUAUAUGAAUAAUUAUAUAUGUCUACUAAUAGAAUUUAUUAAUUAGUUAUACUAAAUUUACUAAUACAUUUAUACUAAAUUUCUAAUUACACUUAAUAGAAUAACACUUUUUUCUCAAAAAAAAAAGCACAAACACAAUAAUGAAUUAGUGAUUGCAUUUGUAAUAAAAGUGAAAACUUGACUAUUUUAGUUAUAUUUAUUUCAGCAUAUUAGAUUGUAUUCAAAUAACUUAUGUUUGAUUGUUUUUAUGAGUUUUAAUUGUAAAAUUACAAUGAAUAAUAAUUUGGUGAUGUGUUGAUAUUUUAGUACUUGAUUAUUUAUUAAAAUUUAAUUAUAAUAAAAUUAUAUAAUAAAAUUUCAUUAACCCCGCGGGUGCCCCCGUGGGGGAAGCGGGGCAAGGCGGGGCGGGGGCGGGGCGGGGCGGGGGGAGCGGGAGGCGGGGGACGGGGCGGGGGACGGGGGAGGGGUCCCCCGCCCCAACCCCGCCCCGUUGCCAUCCCUAAUCGCAACCUCCCUUGCACCUUUCUCCUUCUAUUUCUGUGAGGACCCGUAAAUUUCUCUUAUUUUUAUAUUAUUUUAUUUUAUUUUCUCGUAUGAAUUUUCUUCAUUAUACCUUAUUAUAAUGAUUUUUCCGGACAUCUUAUAAGUGAGUAGAGUUUUUAAAUCAUUUUCCUAGUUUAACUUAGUUCAUAUUCAGUUUGAAGUGUAUUAUGGAUGUGGGGCCCAUUAGUGCGCUAAGUGCGAUAAAGUUUUGCCGAUUAAUUGAAGUUUUGUAUAAAGAAAUAUUACUUUAUAAUAAUCUUACGACUCAAUCACCCCACAAUAAGUGUAAAUGAACAUAGAAUUCAGGGUUUUCCCUUUUGUUUUCAAGAUAGUGUGAAUUAGGGUUUUUACGCCUAUCCGUAGUGCGACUAUCCGGUACGAAGUGUGGAUCAAAUUUGGUGAUUAAAAGUGAAUUUUAGAUGAUAUUAAGUGUGGGAUUAGAGGUGAUAAUAAUAAGUUAGUGAAUUAUAAGUUAAAACCCUAGUAUACGCGAUUUAAAGAAAAUCGGCUCGAACCGAUGGGUAUCGCUCACUACCGAUUGACCACACCACUUGACUACCACUUUCUCACCAUAAAAUAUCAUUGAUACUGGUGCAAAAUAUCUCCCUCAUCCUCAGCCCUCUUAGCCGAAAUAUUUGAACAAAAAAUGCAAGGAAAAGAAAAAAAAUUUGAGAUGGAUUUUGGUUGCGACGAGUGGCAACCAUCCCAUAAGUGUUGACCAACCAAUUUUCCUCCAUAUUUAUCAUCAAAAACCACAAAAAAUGCCCUCAUUUUCUUCCUCCUAGCCGUGAAUAAGAGAGAGAGAGAGAGAGCAAGAGAAAAACAACUUCACUUCAUCUUGAUUUGCACCAUUUGAGUGAAAACAAGAAAAACUAAACCGAUUAAACACUAGUUUGGGAGUUUGGGAAGCUUAAGAAACCAAAAAUUUCAAGGAGAAGUGGAGGAUAACUCUAGCAAGCUUUGUUUUGAGGUAAUAUGGCUGGCCACUCUUUUCUUUUCCCUUAAUCAUGUUGGAGUUGCUUAGUAACUUGUAUUUGUGGUUGUAAUGCUUAUAUCAAGUGAUUUUGGAUGGUUGGGGUGAUGACUUUGAGUUAGGAUUUGAAUGAUUUACUUAUCAUACUUGUUGUAUGGGUGGUAUAUGAUGUAGAUAAGUUGGUAUAAGAGGUGGUAGUGAUCGUUUCAAGCUAAAAAUGAGAUUUAUACCUUGAUUGUAGCAAAUUUCCAGAAUUGAAGUUAAGGUAUACCCUGUUCUGCCCGGUUCUAGUUCACCAUGUUAGAGGCUGAAUUAGGCUUAGUACAAAACAUGAAAGUUGUAUAGAAUGAUGUUUUAUAGAUGCUUACAAAAUUUCAGCCAAAUCUGAGUACUGUAGCUCAUGAAAAGACAAAAUACCCCUGAGACUGCCCUAGGUAGAGUCCAGCAGAUAGUUUUGACAUUUCCUCAAGUUGGCUGCGUUUUUCACCUGGAUCCGUAUCAAACUAGCCUUUGACCAAAAAAUAAAACUUUUAUCCCUAUGUUUCAGCUUUCCAACGGAUCUAAAAAUGCCUCAAUUGGAUUUCGGUAGCCUGAGUUAUUGUCAUUUAACCAUAGUGCGGUUAGCUAACCUAUUUGUGAGAUUCUGGUUUCGUAUAUUGCAAUUUUGACCCAGCUACACUACGAACUGGACUGAGUGCUCUUCAUCAAAGUUGUAGGCCUUUAUCUUAGCUUCGAAACAGUAUAAAUUUCAUCCCAAUCUGAUAAGCGUAGCCUCAGUUAUGUCCGUUACGCAAAAUAACAUCAAAUCUGUCUCUUGUUUUCUGACUUAAACUUCAUUUUCGGACAUAUUCCCAACUUGAAUUUGUACUUGUACCACUUUGAGCCUAUUGAACAGCUAUUGAAAUGAGAUUAUUUUGUGUGUAAUUUUGGGAUUGAUUGAGGAAAACAAUGAAGCCAUAAAUGGUUGGAAAAUACGUAAAUAUAGAGGGCAUGCUGCCCAAAAUUUUAGGACUACGCGAUUCCUUCAAAUUGAGUUGAUCUUGGUAAAAAUGAUGGGUUUUGGGAGUUGUUUGUAACCCUAGGACCAACUGUUAUCUUUUGCUCAAAAGUUAUAUUUUAUUCUUUUGUACUAGUACUUAACUUGGGAAGGCAUACGACUUGUGGUCGAGUCUCAUUGAUGCACUUCCCUAAUUUGUUACUAUCUGGCUAUCUGUGACUUCUAUAUACUCUGUAUGAAAUGAGAGUGUAUUUUAUCGCUCUCGUUUUUCUCAUCUGUUACUUGUUUCUUGCAUACUAUAUAAGUCUGUAUUUGCUCUCUGUAUCUGUUAUCUGUAUCUAUUCUCUAUAUAAUUCUGCGAUCUCUGAACUCAAAACCCGUGACUAGUUACUCGAGUCGAGUCGGCAAGGGCCUGGUCGAUUAGAUAACAAACCAUGGUAGUUUGUUUUGGAGAAUCUUUGGGUAUUGAGACUUUUGAUUCCUGUAUACUCGAGUAUUACCAUUUCUGUUUCUGUUGAGGUGUUCGGGCCCGGUAGGGGGUAUGUUUGGUGGACGGAAUCUGGUGUAAAGUGGGGUCUACGGACAUGUUGGUUCUGUAUACGUUGACGGAGAGUCAACGGGUUGGGAUCAAGUUUUGCAACGGACAUUUGGCUCCUAAGAACCACCCGUAUCCUUUCUAUCUACGGUGUUUGUUCAUUUCCUUAUUUGAUUUGCAUAUGUGACCACUUGAAUAUGAAGUUCCAUGAUUCUUACCUGCUAUUAUUUUGGUAUCUCAUUGAGCGUAAACUCACUCCCUUCCCGUUAUCUUUGUUUUCCUUACAGGGGACAAACUUUGACACCACGGUUUUGGGAGAAAGGGGUCGAGCUAAUGUAUAUGUCGUUUUGUUAAGCUCCUUUGUAACCAAAACCCUAACUGUAUUUUGAUUAGUAUGAACACUUUGGUUUGUAAUUCAAGUUAAAAAUGCUGAAGACUCCGAUGUAAAUAUAUGUGUAAGUAGUUAAUCUUGUCUAUUAAGUGUAUUCAGUGAGAUGUUACGCUUCUAUGGCUUUGGUGAGUGUUUAAUCGAUGUCCUAUUUCACCACUUGAUUUGGUAAGUGAUAUUGGAGCUUGGUGGUUUUAUUUGUUCGUCUUCUUUGGGUCCUAUCGCGCGUACUAUACGGUUUGUAAAAUUCGACUCCGUAGUCCUGGCGAGAGUUGGGUAGGCGGUCCGCCGACCCAUUUGGUUCGCCUUAGGGUGAGGUGGGGCUGUCACAAUCUCUCUUUCCCUCUCUAUCAAUUCCAGUUUCCCGUAGACAUAUGGUUCCCCUCUUUCUCUCUAACAUCCAGAUCUGAAUUUAUACAAUCAUGAACACACUUUAAAGACCUUUCCGAUGCAAUGGCAGACUUCAAGGAAAAGCGGUGGCGUAGGUUUUUUAAGCAGAUAUGUUAUUUUCAUCUCUGUUUUGUCAAUUGCUUUUUUCUUACAUUUUUGGUCAAUUUAACAAUCGCAAGAUAAACUCUUUGAAAUUGUAGGCUUCUACUUCAGUGGAUUAGAGUGAAUGGGCAUCUCAGUUGGAGUAGAGAAAGGGGUCUUACUGGAAGGCAAAAUGAAAACGGCCCGUCAAAAUUUCAGAUUUAAGAUUUCAGGUAGUCUCCAACAUAUUUUCAUACUAGAAUUCUUCCUUCCAUGAUUUGAUUUUUCCCCUGCUUUGUCGUAUUGUUCAAUCCCCUCUCUUUAGCACUCUCGCUUCCAUUCCUCCGUACCUCUCGUUUCCUAGCCCUAAUUGUCCCCUUUUGUUGUCCCAAACCCCCUGUAUCUUACACAAUUUUUGAAUGCUAAACACUGAUUAUGACGUGUUCUAAGAUUUAAGUCUUAUUUAUUCGGUGACUUAACUGAAUUUUGGAUGAUUUUCUACUCCGGUUGGUGAUUAGGAUUGAUGGUAUAGGUGAUUUUGCUUGUCUUUGGACUGAUUUGUGGUGGUUCAUCAUUAUCUAUUGUUUUGUGUUGUAGGACCAUUCGUGAAGCAUAUUUUUUCCCUUCCUUUGGGCUAAUUCUAAUGCUUUCAUUGCGCUGCAUGUGAUUCUCUUAGGUGAUAACUUCUCCUCCUCCUGAAUGUUUGUGCAAGUAUUAAUGCCUUUGGUCUUUUUGCUUUUUGAUGAUUUAAUUUUUUGUUUAUUUCUUAACUAAAGAUCUAGUAAAUAGAAUAUAGUUUUCUUUUAAGUGAACAUACUGGACAAAAAUAAUAAGGAUUAGAAAAAAGGGAUCUCAUUGGCUAUUUGCACCUCGGAAGCCUUGUUGGCAGAAAAAUCUAAUUCCUUAUUCCAAGGUCAUUUCAUGCUUUCCAAGUCCGAAUGUUACGCUUGCUUAGCUAGUUCUCAAUUUUGAAUGAGCUACAAUGGUGAAUGCAUUUACUAUUUUUGUGUUAAAAGAAAUAGCCUUGGCGUUACUUUACAAUUGGUUUCAUGUCAAUUGGGGUCAUAAUGAUUUCUUCAUCUUAAGUACAUGCUACCAACUUGUAGUUUGAAAUUCAGUUCACAUUUUGUACUUGUGGUUAAUAAAAGUGAUCCUUAGCAUUUCUUUUAAAGUCCCUCAUUUUCAUUUCUUUUCAUGCAACAAUAUGAGGAUCAAUGUCUUAGUUGAUAUAUGUAGGCUAAUGCAGGUUUAAUUUAUCUAACUACCAAUGUAAAUUUCUGUUUAAUAAUUUUUUUCCAUUGGACUCUGUAGGUUGAUGGUGGAUUGUAGUAAACUUGGCUAUGAAGCUCUUACAAGCUACUUCGAUUAUGGACUUCACCAAUUAAUGCAAACAUGAUACUCAUUGUAUAUCGGCACAGGGUCUAUCUUAGCAUUGGUUAUCCCUGGCAAUUUUGGUUGUACAUAUUAAAGCCUAAUUAGGAUUUGAUUUGAGUAUCUUUGUGCUUUGUACUGUUGAUAGUAUUGGUUGUAAUAUAUUGUUGCUCGUUUUGUAUUUGUAAUGACAAAUUGGUUUGUUAUUUCGUAUAAAAUUUUUGCUAUAUCUCAAUAUUGACAUUAAUGAUACCUCUGGCUAAAAAAAAUGGUUGAAAAAAAGAGUAGCAACUACAGUCACAAAGCUGCUUUUGGCAACUUUCUUGCAAGAAAAUCAUUUAGUUGCAUUUGAUCGUCUUUGGUAAGGGGUGGAUGGUUUCUAAUUAAAGAAGUUACUUGUUUAUGACAAAAUGGGCACUCUUUUCUUAUAAUGGAGAAAAGUCAUAAAGAAUUGGUGUUUUAUUGAACAAUCAGUUUAUUUUUAUUUUAUCCGAUAAACAAAUUCCUUUUUGCUUUCAAAAUGGGUACUCUGUUCUUAUAAUGGAGGAAAGUCAUAAAGAGCUGGUGUUUUAUUGAAAAAACGGGUUUAUUUUUAUUUUAUUUCAUAAAUAAAUUUGUUUAUGAAAAAAUGGGUACUCUGUUCUUAAGAUGGAGGAAAGUCAUAAAGAGUUGGUCUUUUAUUGAAAAACGGGUUUAUUUUUAUUUUAUCCGAUAAAUAAAUUUAUUUAUAGAAAAAUGGGUACUCUGUUCUUAUAAUGGAGGAAAAUCAUAAAGAGCUGGUCUUUUAUUGAAAAAUAGAUUUAUUUUUAUUUUAUCUGAUAAAUAAAUUUAUUUAGGAGAAAAUGGAUACUCUGUUCUUAUAAUGGAGGAAAGCCAUAAAGAGCCGGUUUUUUAUUAGAAGAUGAAUUUAUUUUUAUUUUAUUCGAUAAAUAAAUUUAGUUAUAAAAAAAUGGGUACCCUGUUCUUAUAAUGGAGGAAAGCCAUAAAGAGUUGGUCUUUUAUGGAAAAGUGAUACUUUACACAAAGUGACCGCGAUUUGGUUGAUGAAAUAAUCCCAAAUAAAAAUUUAGAAUGAAUUUAUAUGUUUUGAAAGUUGUAUAACGGUCGUUAAAACUCCAGAGAUUGGCAAAAAAAUUUUGGAGUUGCAGAAAGGCAGAGUGAAGAAGGAGAAGAAUUGAGCUUUUUGUCCGUUGCAAUUGUUUCGUUAAAAAUGGCUCUAUUCGAUUUUACCCAUUUUUUGUUUGGUAAAAUCGUUGGUUCUAAUGAUCAAUUCUUCAUUUCCUGUCAAUUGUCCUUAAUUGGCCAAAAUUACGAAACUUUGAGGAUGCAAUAUGUUUGGGGUGAAACUUUGAGAAUGAAAUUGGCCAACCACCCAAAAUUUGAGGAUAAAAAGUGCAUUUUUUCCUAUAAGAAAUGCUAUUUCUUGUCUUAAUUUUAGUUAUGACUAUACUACAUAUUUAUUAAAUAGACAUACCUUUAUAAUUAAAGUUAAUAUUUGAUAUUUUAGGAUGCCAUACAUUUAAAUAGAUGAAAAUUAUUUUGAACAUGACAUAUUAAAAUAAUUUUAUUUGUCAAUCAUUUUGGCUCUCCCUCCAAGGAAAAAAUCUUGGCUUCGUCACUGCCUAGGAAGAAAUUGGGGUCUAUUGCUAACAAAAGAUUGUGAAAAUUUACCUUUAUAUCCUAAUUAUUUGGAAAAAUCUAAUGAACAAAUUUUGCAAAAGAAACCUUGUUUCUUACCAGCAAAUUAAGUAACUAAUAAAAUCAUCUUUAAUAUUGCUUUAACAUAUUUAAUUUAUGUUAAAUACAAAUUUUACCAGUUUCUCUUUUGUAAAAAUAUAAGUGUAUCACUUUUUCAAUUUUAGUUAUAAACAUUUAUGUAUUUUACAUAAAUGUAGUGAUUCAGAGUAAAAUGCUCAUAAAUAGUUAGUAUUUUGUUGAUGUAAUGCAAAAAAAUCCAUAAAGAGUUGGUAUGUUAUGGGCGCAAUCUUUUUUACUUUCACAUAUUUAAAAUUUGUUAAAUGCAAAAUCUACUAGUUUUCCUUUCGUAAAAGUAUAAGUAUAAUACUUUUUCAAUUUUAGUUACAAACAUUUAUGUAUUUUACAUAAAUGUAAUGAUUUAGAGUAAAAUAUCUAUAAAUAGUUAGUAUUUUGUUGAUGUAAUGCAAAAAACUCAUAAAGAACUGGUAUGUUAUGGGCAAAACUUUUUUACUUUCACAUAUUUAAAAUUUGUUAAACACAAAAUUUACUAGUUUUCCUUUCGUAAAAAUAUUAGUGUAACACUUGUUCAAUUUUAGUUACAAGCAUUUAUGUAUUUUAUAUAAAUAUAAUGAUUCAGAGUAAAAUGCCCAUAAAUAGCUAGUAUUUGUUGAUGUAAUGCAAAAAACCAUAAAGAGCAGGUAUGUUGUGGGCAAUAUAUUUUUUGCUUUCACAAAAAUCAGUUUAUGUUAAAUACAGGACAAUCAAUUUUCCUUUCGUAAAAAUAUUAGUGUAACAGUUUGUUGACCUUGGUCUCUAGCUUUUGAUGAUUACAAAACAAAUGAAUGUUGCUAACAUCUCCUCAAAGGUUUUUUCAGUAAUGAAACAAAUCAGGUUCAAAGAUUAAGCAUAUUUGAAAAUGACAGAGUAUGCUGUACCUGUCGGACGCUCAAAAAGACAGUACCGGACGUCCGAUAAUCAUUGCACAACUUCGGACGCAUGUUUCGAACGUCCGAUAGGAUCCUUCGAAGUCGACAAAACUAUCGGACGCUGAAUAUGUCUCUACCGGACGUCCGAUAGAAACAAGAUAAUUUCUCAAAUCUCUUUGUUUGCUGUCGGACGCACAAAAAGCUUGCACAGGACUUCCGAAAGAAUUGAAGAAAAUUUCUCAAACUCACUGUCUGCUGUCGGACGCAUAAAACAGGACUAUCAGACGUCCGACACUACCAACGGCUAGUUGACUGUUCAACUACUUUCUAUCCGUUGAAAGCAUUAAUGAGGCACUUUCUUGGUCCUAUGUAAAUAGUAGUUGGUCAGACACUUCAAACAACUUUGGCACAUUGAAGAUACAAAAGAUCUAGAGAGAUUUUAGUGAGAAAAUACUCUUCAAAGAAGAUUUGUAGUCUUAGUGGUGUGAGGUUCAUUGUAAGCUUUUCAUUUAUGAGUGAAUCUUUCAUGAGUGUAGCUCUGUGAGGGUUGUCCUGAGGGAUAGUAAAACGUACGGCUUGACCGAGUGGAGUUCGGGGCAAGGAGGAGGUGAACCUUCCUUUGUACACAAGAGUGAUUGUAAUUCAUCAACUUGAAGUAGCUUGUUAAUCUACAAGUUCAAGAGGAGUUGGGUAGUUAAUUGGUUUGCAAUUAUUUCCUUUUUAUUUAUUUAUUGUUACGUUUGUGAUCUUUUAAUUGCUUAUCGAUUGGCUUUUCGUUUGGUUGUUUUCGAUCCUUACACAAUUUUUCAAUUUUAGUUACAAAUAUUUAUGUAUUUUACAUAAAUGUAAUAAUUCAGAGUAAAAUGCCCAUAAAUAGAUAGUAUUUUGUUGAUGUAUAUGCCCAUAAUCGGGAGAAUCAAUUGGAAUUCACUGUUCCUCAGCCUUGGACGCUUUAUGUAAAGUAGAAAUAUUUGUAUUCAAUUAAAUGUGAAACGGGCAACAAUCCAUCUUCCCACAAAUCUAGUUUUCACAAAUGUUAAUAUUUUACUAAUAUAACAAUUAAAAUCAAUUUUAAUAAUUCAAAUUUAGUAGAUUAGAUAAAAGUUGUUAGAAAAGUGAGAAAUCAAAAGAAAAAUAACUCAAAUUUAUUAAAAGUCCAAAAAGGAUUCAGUACUUCAGCUAUAGAAGUCCUCCAAAUGACUAUAUAUUAGAACGUCUAUAAUCAAAUAAAUUAGAUAAUUAAAAAAUUUAAUAUUUCAAACAUUUAUUUUCUUAAGUUUCACUUCUUAAAGGCUCUCAACUCCUUGUUCAUUAAUGACCAUAUGUUGUUUCAAAGCCAAGCAUGGCUGUGUUUAGUACUGCUUACGCUUCUUUUUCGGUGUUUUAUUCUUAGGCCCUUUAUAUUUAUGUUAAUUCCGUGACACCCAACACAUUUUCAGCUUCUGCAGUACACAACAUUUCCAAACCCCGGUUAUAGGUCACCACUUGCUUUUGUAGAAAUAUUCCCUUCUUGGUCCAUAUAUGUCAGGUUUCAACGUGCUGCCUUCUUUGUCAUAUGCUUUACUUUCCACACCUGUCUUGAAUUAUCCGAUUACACUACAGAAUUUAUCCUAAUUUUGAAGAGUAACAGAGUUCACAUACUCUGGCCAGACAUUGCUCGGAUCUAUAGUUUGAAGCUGCUUCACUGGCACGGGCACUGGCACUUGUCCAGUUUAAUUUCUUGGAAUCCUCUGCAACUAUAAAGGAUAAUCAGAGAAUCAUCUCUCACUCCUGGCCAGACAUUUUUUUUUGGCUUGUACUUGGAUCUGUCUAUGGUAGGCACACUUUGACCGUGCCUAUUGUUGGAGCACAAUGUGGGUCAGACACGUGUGAGAAACAAUAAUUAUGGCCACCUGCGCAAAAUAGUGGUAGUGGAAGUUGGACGCGCAUGAAUGAAUGGGCAGGAGGAAACGGUUUGGACCAGAGCAUAAGAAGAAUAAAAAGUUGAAAGUAGUGUGUAGAUUGUAAUGGGACAAAUACGAGGAAAUCUAUUACACUAGAAAUUUAUUAGUCCAUGUUUUCUAAAAGAUUUCUAAUAAUAUGACAUGUAUUCUUGAAUUAUUUUACUCUUUAAUCAAUUCAAUUAAUGUAAUUUAAUAGUUAUCAGUUUGUUUAGUUCAAAUGUUUAAAUUACUAUAUUUUAGUUAGAAAAGUAUUUUGUUAAACAAACUUAUCAAAAAAGCCUCUCUAAGUAAAUAUUUUAUUUUAUCAUUUCCUUUAGACAAAAAAAUCCUAGUUAAACUAACUUAUCAAUAACUUUUUCUAAGUAAAAUUUAGUAUAAUUACUACUUUUAACGUUUCCCUUAGUUGCAAAUGACAAAUAGCAUAUAUAUACGUUAAAAUGUGUCAUUUCUCAAGGAUUUUGAAUUAUUAUUUUUCAUUAGUUUCAAUUAAUGUCAUCUAAUGAUUAUAGUUUGUUUAAUUUACAUGUUUAAAUCCCUAUAUUUUAGGUAGGAAAUAUUUUUGUUAAAUUACCUUAUCAAAAAACCUGUCUUUAUUUUAACAUUUCUUUUAGGCAGAAAAGGUUUGGUUUAACCAACUUAUCAAUAAUUCUCUGCAAGUAAAAUUUUUUACUUUAAUGUUUUCCUUAGCUUUAGAUGAUAAAUAGCAUGUAUUGUCAUUUGUAAAAUUUUUUUGUAUAUAGGAUAUUAUAAAUUUAAAUAAAUGGUUUGACAAAUUGAUAAAUAGCAAUGCAUGACUAUCGUAAAAAUGUAAAAAUGAUACAUUUUUCUCUCAAUCCUAUUGUACAAAUUGGGAAUUUUACUUAUUGUCUUAUCUUUAUAUAUAUGUAAUAGAUGGAGGGUUUUUUAUCAUAAACCUUCACACAUCUCCAAAAUCCCAAUCCCUUUUCCCUAGAAUUUUACAUUUAUUUUAAUUCACACACAUUGCCUCCACAAUUUGGUACAAUCAAACCAUUUCAAAUUCUUUUGUUUGAUAUUGGUAUGCAAAUUAAAUUUCCACGAUUUCCAAUUCUUCCCCAUGUCUAGUUGAUCCUUAUAGUUUCAAAUUUAUGUAAAACUUAUCCAAAUCAUUUUUGCAAAAUUUUAGAUUGAUAACACAAAAUUUAAUUACAAUUCCUACAACUCUAUAAUAAUUAACCAAUAACAGAAAUUAUUUACAAUUUCAGUGUAGACUCCUUUAGAGAGCUCCCAACUCCCCAUCUUUUUUCUUAUAUUGUUUAUUUAUUUUUAGUUAACUAAAUAACUUUCAAUUUUUGAAUUACAUACUUACCAUGUAUGCGGUUAUAAGUUAGUUAAAUUUUAAUAUUUCUUAAAUUUUAAUAUUUCAUUAAUUUUACUAUGUAUGCGGUUAUAAGUUAGUUAAAUUUUAAUAUUUCUUAAAUUUUAAUAUUUCAUUAAUUUUACUAUGUAUGUGGUUAUAAGUUAGUUAAAUUUUAAUUUUGAAUUAUUUUAAUAUUUCAGAACGAAAUAUUAUCAACAUUCAAAAUACUAGCAAAGUUUGAAAUUACAUACUUAUCAUAUAGGCAUUUAUGAAUGAGUAACAUUUCUAGCAAUAUUAACAAAACUUAACAUACUAACACAAUACCACACUUAUAAAUGAUUAUUGCAAAUAAGGAAACAAAUAUUUGAAAUCCUUCAAAUUUGUAAUAACAAAAUGAAAACAACUUAUCAAAUAUAAAAGAUAAAACAUACUAUCAAAUUCAAAAAAGAACUAACAUUCACUCCAGUCAUUCUUUUAGGUAAUCCAACAUAAAUAUGUAUUAUUACCUUUGGUAAUUCUAACUUAAAUAUGUAACUACUAUUUAAACAUUAAAUUAAAAUGUCCAAUUUAUAGACAUACAAUAUUUAUAUUGUCUAAAGUUAAAAAAUCAAAAGAACAAAUUUAUGGAUGAAAAGAUAACACUUUAAUUUUUUGGUAGAGCACUACCCAAAAACAUACUAAUAAUUUGGCAAGAGAAAAAUAAAAAAUAACUUAGGAAAUAUCAAAAUUAAAAAAUAAUAUCAAUUUCGAAAAGGAAAUAAACAAAUGAUGGUAGUUUUUAAAUUAGAUGUUCUUUCUUUGGGACAGUUAAGGAUUUGCAAAAGCACCCACUAAUCUAAUAAUCGGCCAUAUCUAAUUUGAUCCGAUCCGAAAAUAUCCGAUUCAUAUUAUUUGAUCCGGUCAAAAGAGGGUCAAAUACCAGUUUAAAUACGGGGUGGGAUAGGGUCACAUAAUUAAAGACUCAUGGAUACUGAAUCCACUCGCAGAUAUAUAUUUUUUAUUUUUUUAUUUAUAUAUGUAUAUACUAUAAAAUAAUAUUUUUAGAGUUAAAUGAGUAAUUUCAUUCAACAAAUUGCAUUACAAAUAUCAAAGACUAUAGUUUGUUUAUAAGAUUCAUUUGUCAAUGUCAUGAUCUUAUAUUAUUUAGAAAAAAGUUUAAUUAAUAUGGAAUAUAUAUUUUAAAAAAUGUGUUACUUAUUUCAAAAUUCUAUUGACUUUGAAUUCUUUUAAAUUUUCCUUUUCCUUAUGUUCACUUCACAUAUUAUUUGCUGGUGGGGGACAUUUUUUAGAAAAUUUUUUUUAUUAAAUCUUAUAUGAAUAUGUAAAAUAUAAAAUUAAAUUAGUAUAAAUUUCUUUUUUAAAAAAUUAAAUGAUAAGUGAGAUAGGACGAGUACUCAUUAAUUCGAUCCUAUCUCAACAGGGUAUCCGCUGAUAUUUGAGGUGGGUAAGGGUCAGAAAAUGACUAACCCACAAAAUGCAGAUCAAGUCAGCCAAAUGGUGUACAGGAUGGGUACCUGACCCGUGUCCACCCUUAGGGAUAGUGUCUAUCAAUAAUGCUAAAAAAAAGUUAAUACUGGCAUUUAAAAUCUUCUUUUGGAUUUUGCUGUGAUCUAUUUUGAAAAAUAUACUUACUAAAAUAAAAUAAAAAUAUAACUACACAAGGCUAAAUAUAUAAUUUUUUGGGGCUUGGGCACCCACUAAAAUAUAUUUCAGGUGUCAUAUUUUUAGAAAUGUAUGAUUAAUUAGGAAAAGUAAAUAAAUACAAAUGAUGGUAGAUAAGAUUAAAUAAGGAAAGCAUAUAAUUAAAAAAAAAAUAAUUAUUAAUAUAUGUAUAUAUAUGGUAGAUUAGGUGAAUGUUAGAUAAAUGAGAAACCCUAUUUCUAUUCUUUUCAUGUACUAUUUAGAUAGAGUAAAUCUUAUAUACAUUGAUAGUAUACACACUAUAAUCAUUUGAUUUAUAUCAUAUGUACAAAAGUUGAAUUUCAAAUUCAAAUUUUACAUAGUUAUCAUUCAUCCAACGCUGACAAUGUAUACACUGUUAGUGUUCGAAAGAUUAAUCAUUUUAGAUAGCGUGAAUCUUAUAUACACUGAUAAUGUAUAUACAAUCGUCGUUUAAUUCAUAAUAUGUGUGCAAAAGUUGAAUUUCAAAUUCAAAAAUUGCACAGUUGAAUUUCAAAAAUUAAAAGUUUUGAAAUUCAGUGCUAAUGAUAAGGUUUUGUUUAUAGUAAAUAAUUCAAAUUGGUUUUAAGUAGCUACUUUCAUUAGUAUUUAUAUUUUGUCCUUAUUUAUCUCAUUAUUAUUAUAUACAAGUACAUAGUGUUGCUUUAUUAUUUUUGUUGAAUUGAGUCUUUCUUAAGGUUCAUUUGGGGUUACAGUGAUUUGUUAAAAAGUACUUGUAGACACCAAAAUUUCAUUUUUUUUUGUUUUUCUCAAUUUUAGCUUUAUUUAUUAUUAUUUAUUCUUGUUUUUAUUUUAUUUUAGAUUGAUUAAGUUUGUAAAAUGAUAGUUAGUGUUUAUUUUUUAUUAUUUUUAUAAAUUAGGUUCAUCAUUUUUCUUUUUAAGAUAUUUUUGCAUUAAAUUUCUGAAAAGGAAAUUCUCACAAAAAUUCAAAAAAUUUGUUUUUAAUCCUUUUAAGAUUCAAUUUCUUUAAAAUAAAUGAAAAUUUUGCAAUGCAAUUUCAAUUGGGAAUUAAUAUUUUUGUUUACUUAAAUUGAUUUUGAAAAAAAAAUAAAUAAAUAAAAAGAAGAUAGGUGGAAGCCAUGCACAAUAGCUAGAUGGAAUGCAUGCAAAUGAGACAAAUGUCUCUAUUUUUCUUUUGACACCACAACAUCUAGAGGAUACACCGUAAUAUCUAGAGGAUAGGUGGAUAGGACACUUGGAAGCCUAGAAAAAAACAAACAAAAGAAAAAGGAAAAACAAGAAAAGAAGCUACGGGACAAGGGGAAAAGGAACCGAGAGAGAAAAGAGAGAGCUUUCCCCGGGGGGGGGGGAGGAAAAAAAGAGCAAAAAAAACUGAAGAAGGGAGCAAGAGAGGAGAUUCUGGGAGAGAGAAAAACAAAAAAAAGCUGAGUAAGAAAGGGAGGAAGGACGGGACUGGAAAGCAAGAAAGGGGAGAGGAAGCUGCGGGCUGGAGCAAGAGAAAAGAGCUGGUGAGGAGCUCUGGGAAGAAAGGAGGAAAAGGCAAGGAGAAAAGAAAAACAAAGAGCUACAGGCAGGGCUGGAAAAACAAGAAAGGAAAGAAACCAGGAGAGCUUGGGGAAAUCUGGGAAAAGAGGGAAAAAGCCAAGGAAAGAGCUGAAGAGCAAAAAGAAAGAAAUAGCAGGAGAGAAACCAGAAAAGGAAGGAGAGGGUUUCGGGAGCAAGCAAGGGAAGAGAGGAAGAAAAGAAAAGAGAAAAGGAAGAAAGAAAGUGGGGGGAUCUGGGGGAGAACAGAGAACUUCAGAAAAGAAACAGAAAGGGAAAAGAAAGAGAGUGAGAGAGGAAAAGAGAGGGACGAUUGAGUAGAAGAAAAAGAGAAAUCUGCUGCAAAAAAAAUUCAUCACCAGGCUGACGAACCAGCCUGAUUUCGUGGAAAAUUCUGACCAAUUUCUUAACUUUUUGAGUGAGCUCUUGAUUUCUGCACCAUCUUGGCAAGUAAUAAAAGAACUUUCACUUAGGAAUCUCCCCAAGAAAACAUCUGUAACCCUCCCAAAUCGGGACCCAAAUUAUCAGGUUCAUCAUCGCUGAAUUUUGCGGCAAGUUCCAUUUGCUUCAUUUCAAGAGUCGGCACGCCGUUUCUUGGAGAUUUCACGUUGGUUUGAUGCCACAAACAUUCUGAGGUAACCAUUGCUUCUCCCUUUCUUGCUUUAACACUGUUUUCAUGAGAAUCCGAGUCCAAAAGGCAUGAAUCCUGUGACAUUUUGCUGCUGGUUUGGCUCCGUGAUUGUUAUCAUGUUUUGUUGUCUUGAUGUUUCCCUAGUUGGUGUUUUUUGUGUUGGUACAAUUUUGAUUGUUGGGUUUUAUUGAUAAACGGUGUAAGUUGCACAUUUUGCUAGCUUGAGGUUUGAUUGGCAUGAUUUAUACGAUUGGAAUGAAACCCAGAAGAUUGCGGAACUUUUGUCGCAGAAGAUUUGCGUAUUUGCUCAUUGAAUUUCUAUGAUUUUGCCGCUUAAAACCAAAUCUUUGAUGUUAAUUGAGAAUUUAGUUGUGUUUAGCAAAGAAAAAAUUACACUAUAUAAACACAGAAAGUGGCAGAAAAAGGAAAUCGGUGAAGAGGAAAGCUUCUUCGAAGCCUAUGCAUGGAAACUUUCCAAAAUUGCAUGUUGGCCCCCGGAUUUUGACUUAAUUAUACUAUAGCCCAAAAAUUAAAAAAUUAAUUAAUUUUGCCCUUUUAAAAUGUUAUUUUCUUUGGUAUAUUCUAAUAUGAUUUUUUGGAUAGAUUAUUGGUGAAUUUUAGGAUGAAAUUUGGAGGUUUAAUAAUUUUUGGUAGAUUCAUAGUUUUUUUUAUUUGGAUUUUGAAAAAUGGUUUAGAUUUGGGUAAUAUUUUUGUUUUGGAUUUGGUGAGAGGGUUUUGAUUUAUUUUUGUGAAAUUUAGCAUUUGGCUUUGAUAGGCUUCAUCUGUGAGGACUCGUAAUUUAUUUUAUUUUCAUUUAUUUGUAUUUAAGUAUUUUAUCGAUUUAUUCACUUAUUUAUUGGUUUGCUCCAAAAUAGUUAUUUUCAUGAUUUAUUAUCCAAUUAUUAGUUAGUUAUACUAUCGUUAUAAGAAUUUCUUAAAAAUUUCGUUUUAUCGCGCACAAAUCGAAAGUACGUGUUUUGCGCGCGCGAUUAAUUGAGGGACUUUAGAUCUUUAUUUUUAAACUAUUAAGAGUGAAUAAUAAAAGUAUUAAUGGAAGUGCAUUAGAGGUUUAGUUCACAAGUGAAACAAACCCGAGAGGAAACGAGCACGAAACGCGCGCGUACGCAUACUAUUGGAGGGUUGACUUUUGAGCACUUAAACCUCUUGUAGACAUCAAAUUUUUGGUUUCGAAUUUUGCUUGUUUAAUUAGUUUAAUUUUAGAUUUGUUGUUUCAAUUUUAGAUUUAUCUUAGAGGUUUCCUGUUUCAUGUCUCUUAUUUUAAUUAGUUUACGGACAUUUAUUUCAUUUAUGGAUUCAAAAGAAAAAAUCAUGGAAAAAGAAGGAAAAAGGAAAAAAAAAUAGAAAUUUUGUUUUAUUUGGCUUUAUUUAUCUAUUUUAGUCAUUUCUACUUAGUUUAUCUUUUAUUUUUGUUUGGUUCAUUUAGAAAAAAAGGAAAAAGAUGGAAAAAUUGAAAAAUGAAAAAAAUGGAAAAAAAGAAGAAAAAGAGGAAAAUCUUAGUUUUUUUUUAUUAUUUAUUUUUAUUUUUAUUUUUUAUCUUUCGGUUGCUAAUUUUGUACAUUUUAUUUAAAUUUAAGUUUGUUUGAAUUAUUAUUGUUUUUAUUGUUAUUUAAUUAAUCUUCAAAAAAAAAAAAAUGCGGCAUGCAAGCUGCGUAUUGCCGCAGCUUGCAAACAGAGGACUAGGCAGCCCUUCAGCUGCAAUUUGAGGAAAGUUGUUUAGGGUUGGGAGUUCCAUAUAAAAGGGAUGAAAAAACAAUAGCCGCAAGGGGGUCGAGGAGGAGGAUUGAGAACUAGCAGCGAAAGAAAAAGAAAAGGAAGAAGGAAAGGGUUUGAGCCGUGAGGAUUUGGUGAGAGAAAUGAAGCAAGGGAAAGCAAAAGGGGGCUUCAUCUGAGAGAGUGACGGCGGGUAAAAUCUGAAAAAGAGGGAGAGAAAAACAGAGGACGGCCGAACUGAAAAAUUCUGAAGAGGUUCUUUUGACGGCUAAAACCAGAGAGAGCAGGGAGAGUUUGGUAGCUUCUUGAACGGCAAAAGAAAAACCAGAAGGCUGGGUAGCGGCUAGGUUUUGAGGAGAGUCGAGGAAGCAGGAAAAAGAUAGAAAAAACAGCAAAAAGGAUAGAGGGUGACGGAAACAGAAAAACUGAGGGAGGAAGAAGGAGAGGUCCUGGCGGUUUGAGUUUGAGAAAGAGGGUCAGAGGUCUGAGAGGAAAGUCGAGAUAAUCUAGGCGGUGAAGGAGCUAAGGAAGGUUGCGGGCUUUUGGAGAAACUAGAAAGCCAGAGGCAAAGAGUUCCAGGGCCUGCUGAAGCGAAGCUUCAUCUGUCGGAGGAUACUGCGCAUCAAGGUGAAACCGCAUCUUUCUUUGCAUCUUUACUGGUAAAGUUGCUUCCUUUCUAUGUUUCUUUUGCUUACCUGAGAUGUUUGAUGGCGGAGUUACAAGCUUUCUCUGGUUUUCGAUGACACCAUCACUGGUUUCAUCAGAAGUAGAAACCCGUUACCUUUGUUUCUGUUCUCGUAUGUUCAUUCAGAAACAGAAACUCUCGGUUUGUUGCAAAAGGUCCUUUCUUUGGGUUGUCGAAAUUGCGGCUGGUUUGACAUGCUUGAUUUUUAUUUGCUGCCUGACUAUGAUGCCAUGCCAAUAUCUGUUUUAAAACUGUAUUUAGAGAAGUCCUUAGCUUUGAAUUUAAAGAGUGAAUCUCAGGUCUAACGAAUUUUUUUCUUCUGCUCAGAUUUCUGUUUUCUUUUCCCCGUUAGGUGUUCAGUGUUAUGUUGUGGUGAUAAGUCUAGGAAGCCUGGUGAAUAUUUGGGAUCAUUCUCCAUGUUAAUUUUAUCACAUGCUAACAGUUCGUUCCCUGCAAAAGUUGUCAAACAAAUCAGUGAAGAAGAUUAUUUGUGAAUGCAUCUUGCAACUGGGAGGGACUUGUAUGUUAAUCAUGCAUUUAGUAUUCAUUUCCUGGUUUGGGUCUGAUAUUCUGAAGGAUUAGAAUUUAGGAUGUGGACAAACAUGCAGGGCAUUCAGAUUAUGUAGCUUUGUUGCAUCUCCUGGGAAUGUUUAAGCUAUAUUUACUCAUUUUUUAUGAUUCUUUGCAUAAACUCCUCGCCUGGGCUCUGUAAGGUGUUCGGAAAAUGCAUGUUUUGGCCCCUCUCUAUCCCCGAAAUCCCUUGUUUGUUUGUCUAGGUGUGCAUUCAUGGUGAACAUAGUGAAUCUUGGGCUGUAAAAUUUUCUGCUUUUCUUGAUAAAGCUGCGGCAAUGUUGUCAUUAGAAAAUGCAGAAGUUUGCGACUUGUUUCCUGAUUUGUUUGGGUCAGAGUUUAGCGUGAAUGUAGAUCAUUUCUGAUGUUUUUUGAAACUGAAAGUUUGUUGGAAACUCAUGGUAUGAAAUUGCUGAAGUUACCAAGUUAUUUAAAAGUUCCUACUUUCAAAAACACAGCAAGCAAAAGCUACCGCAUUUUUUCUUUCUUUUCUCUGCCGCGUUUCCUUUCCUUUGGUUGCUAGUUGAGUUUUGCACUUCAGUUUCAUGUUUGAUCUUGUGUUGGAGGGAAGCAAUGGAAGGUUGGAUGUUGAGGCUGCAUAUUUGCAUGUUUGGACCAUGAUUGAACACUUUGCUGAAAAGCAAACAAGCAAGCUGCCGAAACCAUUUCUGCAUGAAUUUUAGAAGUUUGGCAUGAUAUAUUUCCAUGUUUUCUGGUCAUCUGGAUUGUGAUCAUUAUGUAGCCUGUUACUUGGUUUAGGAUUGGGAUGUUGGGUUGGAAAACAUCCAACCAAAGCCAUGUAGCUGAAUCAAAAUCUGAUGAAAGCUUCAUGCGUGAAUCGCAGAAGUAAAGAAGGCUUUAGCCUUUCAUUGCAUGCAUGGAAUAUUUCCAAUAAUUCCAUUAUGACCUCUUGAUUAUUGCUUAACUCUAUCAUGGCCCGAAGAAUUGGACAAGUUAAUCAUUUUGGUCCAUUUAAAGAUCAAUUUGUUUUUUUUGUUAUUUGAUUUCAUAUGAUUUUUGAGUUGAUCAUUGGUGAAUUUUAUAUGCAUUUUUGAAGUUUAAUAAAUUUCGAUAGAUCCAUGGUUUCGACUUGGAGUUUAAUAAACUUUGGGAAAUUUUCAUUGUGUCAUCGUAGUAAAUUAGUUAUCACUUAUGUUUGUGAAUUUUAGUAUUUGAUUUGUAGAUCUCACCAUGAGCCUUUGAUUUUUAUCUAAUUGCUUUUGGGACCCAUAAUAUUUGAAAUAAUGAUGCCUCCAGUUUCUUUUACUUCUUUUAAUUGAGUUCUUGUUUAUUUCAAUUUGAUGAAUAGGGGUCACUCACUUUUAUUUGAAUGUUCUGUUUGAAAUUUCAUGUUUAUUUCCAUUUCAUAUGAUUAUUUGAUAAUUUCAGUGGUACCUUGACCUAUUUAUUAUUUUGGAGGGUAAAUUAGUAAUUUCACUACGUUAGAGCUCCAACUCAAGGGAGGUAUAACUUCUUUUAUCUUUUUUGUCUCUCCUAUGUGAACCAACGUGCUACGUGAGAAAUACAUGUCUACUUUGCUUUCCUAGCCUUUCUUUAAUUUCUUUUAUUUAUGUCAUUUACUUUUGCUUUUUAUUUAAGUUAUUCUUUAUGGGGUAUGUGUACACCUCUUGGCUUGUAAUAGUUAGGGAUUUAAUUAUUUUAUUCCUUUUCCCCCUUUUAGAUUGUAGUAGGGUCUCCCUAAUGUAAUAGAUAGGGCUUGGAGGAGCAUUCAAUGAAGACCUAUCGAAGUCAUGUGCCUAGCUAGCAAAUGUAAUAGUUAGGGCUUUAAUUGUCUUAUGUGUCUUGCAUGCUUAGUUACUACGUGUUAAUUUGCUUUGUUAGGGCCUUGCAUCUAGUCGAGCAUGCUAAAUGUUAUGUGCUAUGUGUUUAUAAGUGUUUGGCAUGUCUACUCGCUUUCCAUAACCUGAAUGAAUGUGAUGGAUGAAUGUACGUUUCCACUAGUCCAACGCUAGUCGGAAUUCAUAGAAUGGGCUAGUCCAACGCUAGACCCUUAGGGAUUUCCCCUCGUUAGUACAUGUUUGCAUGUUCAUUACAUGUCAUGCAUUCUUUUUAGUUUUAUCAUUUUGCAUGCCCCUCGAACCCCUUUUCCCUCCAUUUUAGGAUUUUUGCAUUUCAUGCUAGUUAUAGGGUUCAUUUGCUUGAGAGUCCCCUUAAAUAUGGGAUAUAGACGAGUGUGGCUUUUUCUAAGCCUUAGCACGCUUGUAUUCCCUCUAUAAAAGGGCAAAUUGAGUCACGAUUUAGGUCUCCCCGUAC